UUGAUUAGUUUACUACAUUUAUUACAUGACUUGGUUUGAUAACACCGACUCCAUUGCAACACUGAAAAUAAUUUGAAUGUGCUGGAUGACUACUAAUAUGCAGCUGGUACACGGGAGCUACAUCGUGACAGCUGAACCAGAAGGUACAGAUCCUUCUAAACAUGGAAUUGUCUGGGAGGAUAGGUAAUCAGGUGUAGAUAUGGAAUCAACUAUAAAGUCAUUUGGCCCAAGAUCAUCGAUAGGUGGACGUUGUCUAUGGUGCUCGGUGACUGACUGAUAAGCCAUGGCUAGUGCGAGAGCCUGCACAUAAAGAGAACAAAACAAAACUUCAUCACCUACUAUAACUUGAUUUUCUUAAUUGAAAAAUCAGUAAAUAGACUCUUAUCAUUGAUCUUACAACGUGAUCAUGGUUUGGAGGAGCAUAAAUGCCGGUGGUGAUGGUGGUCCUUCGUCGACUACCAUCAGGAGGCGGGCUAGAUAUUUUGGUAAAACCUGUUGGGAUAAUAAGAACAGGCAUACCAACAAGAUUGCCCAGGCAGACUUUCUCCCAAUCAGUUGCAUUGCCAAUGAAAGCAUCGACAGUAAAACUUUCUCUAAUUUCCCGAAUUAAUUUUCCUCGUGCUCUCUGUGCCUGUGAACAAUAUCACAAAUCCUAAUCACAAUAAAAUAGAUUAAGAUUAUAGAACAUUAUAAAUUUUAAUCCCAACCCAUUUCAAAGUAACAAGUUCAUUUGACGAUGAUGUAAUCAGAUCUUAGAGAACUAACCUGAACAUAGUCUACUGCAGGAAUCAUGCGUGCACGGCGUAGUUCAACAGGCCAUUGAUCUUGAGCUUCAUAAAAGUCAUCCUCCCCAGAUCGCUGCCACUCAUCAAAGUGAGCCAACAUAUCAACGUCCAUCGUAAAAUUGAGGAUUCCUUGAACAUGGCUGACAGUGUAAUUCAAUUUGAAAGGAACCAUUUUAACACCCUUUGAUUCAAGUAUACGAACAACCUGGCAAAGCCAUCCCAAGAAAGUUCGAUAUAUUAAAAUCCAAAGUAACUCUUCAAGCAGCAUGAAUCUGAUAAAGUUCUUGACCUGGCAAAGAUCUGAGUGAUCUAUCUAAUGAUAAUUUGAACUCAAAAAUUUUAAUUUUAAUGCAUUGUCCCACUCUUACCUCCAUCUCAGCAUCAUCCAGAUACCCAACAGUAAGAUUUGUGAUGUCUACUGAGAAUGGGUCAUCAAGGGAAAUGUCUUUUGAGGAGGGAUCAUCUGGAUCCUUUCCUAGAAUAGCAUCCAGAAUAAUUGUGCAAUCUGCAGCACUUCGACAGAAUGGUCCAAUCUUAUCCUGAACAUAUAUAUAUAUAUACAUCUUUAGGUUCCAGAACAAAAUGAGGGAACAAAUGCAGCACAUAAAGUGAAGAUGAUUAUGGUGAUACCAAGCUUUCCGAUAUGCUCAUUACACCGGUUCGACCAACAGCACCAAAAGUUGGGCGUAAUGCAGUCACACCACAACGUGCAGCAGGGUAGGUUAUGGAGCCACAAGUUUCUGAGCCAAUUGCAAAAGGAACCAUGCCUGUGAUGGAAAACAAUUUCUUAGUUGGUGCUUUUGUCAGGGGAGGACUCAAACAUAAAAAGGAACAAGAAAUCAAGCUAGAAAAUCAAAUGGGCAGAAAUUAAAGUUUAGAAUAGCUCAAGCACUAAAUUAAGGAUACCUGCUGAGGUGGAAGCAGCAGGUCCAGAGGAUGAACCAGUAGAGUAUUCCUCAAUAUUCCAUGGGUUCCUCGUCCUACCUCCAAACCAGAUGUCAUCAUAUGCCAGUGAUCCAGUAGCAAGCUUUGCAACAAGAACAGCCCCAGCAGACUUCAACCUGUACCAAUCAGAGUCACAAAUUAAAUGGUCUGAACAUGACUGAAGAUUUGUUAUCGGGUUUCUCCUUUUUGUUUAAAAAGAUAUAUUGUCUUUCUGCAUGCUCCCUUUCCUUUUAUUAAGAUUCAUAUUCGGAAAAAGGAAAGAAAGUAAAGAAAGAAGAAAUAAUACUUCUUGUAAACCGAAGCUUCAAUGUCAAGAACUUGAUCUUUGAAAGUUUUUGAACCCCAAGUAGUCUUGUAUUGGGGUACCGAAAUUAUAUCCUUCAACCCAUAUGGAAUCCCAUGAAGGGGACCUGUAACACAACUCAAUAUUACAUUCUGGAAUCAAGGUAUUUAUUGUACCAUAUAUUAACUUCAAAUCUUCGGCUCUUACUUUAAGAUUAUGAUGAUGAGAAGAAAUAGAUGAAGGAGGUACCCAAAUAUAUUCCUCGAGCAAGCAUUUCAUCAGCCUCUUUUGCCUGCUUGUAUGCCAAUUCUUCAGUGUAAGUGACCACAGCUUCAAGAACAAGAUUAUACCUAGUGGUUCCCCAAUGCAUAUAAGAAAGAUGACUGGAACAGACACAUAGGAAACUUUCUUUUUCUGCUUUAUUACCUCUUUAAUCUAUGAAGAAAAAUCUGAGUAAGCUCCUCAGAGGUAAUUUGUUUUGUCUUAAUGAGUUCCCCCAGUUCAAGAACCUGGUGAACAUCAACAAUUUCAUAUACAAAACACUAAAAGAGAAAAGAAAAAAAAAAAAAAAAAAGUGAAUAAAAAAUUUGGUGGUAGGAAAGACUUACAGUCAUGAAGGCAAUAUCUUCUUCACCUUCAGGCCUCUGUAUUCCAGAAAGGGAAGGACAACUGAAUCUUUUGGUUUUGCUUUGUACUUGUUCAUUUCCCCACCCAGGAUUGAAAACCAAAUAAGAUGGAUCAUGUAAACCUCCAUUAACAGAAGCAACUAACUUACGAUUGGCCCUUGAUAUAGGGAUAUUCAGCUCGGUUGCACCCUGCUCAAUCUCGGCUAUCUAAAAGGAAAAAGAAGAUAAGAGUAAUUAUAUAUAUGAGAUGAAACUUGGAUGAUACAAUCCAUAGCUAAUGGAUCAUAAAUAGUCUAAAUUACAAGUUCAUCAAAAUCACCUUAGUAUCAUUGAAGAAGUCAGCAUCAAAUAUUGCAAAUGCACAUUUAACUGGUAAGACUUCAUUAAUCUUUUCCGAGCAUUCACCAUUGCUUUUAGGGCUGUACUCCCCACUGUCCUGAUCAAAGAACAGAAGAACAUUUGCUUGGAGUAAAAAUUAAAGAAACAAUGAAAUAAAAAUGAAAUGGACUAGCUCUUCUUUGUUCUAAUUUUUGUUGGGUAUACAACAUUUCCCACAUUUUCUUAAAAGGGGGGAAAAUGAGAAGGUUGGGAAAUUGGCUUCCUUCUUAAGCAUUUUCCCCUUUUCCCCUAAAACUCUUUGAGGAACAAAGGGGAAAGUAAAUGACCAAUCAAAGCCCCUGCCACUAUCUAAGGUGCUGUUUGGCUAUCAUUUUAUAAGAAAUUUUCUUGCUUUUCGUGGCUAAAAUCAAUGAAAAUGCUAAUUUCCAAAGAAAGAAAAAGUAGUUCCAAACUGCUAACUAUUUCAGAGGAGGACAAGAACCACCUCCUCCUUAUCCCCAAUUCUUGAAGCUAAAUGGUGGUUUUGUAUAAACAUUGGCUGUCGUUUCAUAUUCAUAAUAAUUUCAGUAAACCAGUAUUAUUUAUCAAUUUUUUUUUUGCAUGUAGAGCCUCCAAAUGAUUGUUCACAAGCUCUAAACGUAUAGAAUGAAAUCUGAAAUUUCUAUCACAGCAGGGACGAAACAGACCCACUCUUGGAUGUUUCUGAUACAUUAAUUGAUGGAUGAUAGAAAUGGAGAAAGAGAGAGUAACCAUUAUUGCUCCAGUCCCGGCGAGAAGACGGUUGGAUGAGAUGAGACAGAGGAGGCAAAAAUAAUACAGCAAACGUAUCCGUGCGAGUGAGAGUGAGGUGGGACGAAGGAUGCCCCCCAACAUGGCUGCCGCCUUGCCACACCCUUUACCUCCUCUUCUUCUUCCUCGGAGUUCUGACAGAUACCUGCGGUUUUAUUGCUGGAGAUGCUUUUCCCCAGUUUUUUUACAACCCGCUUUCCCAAGCCCUUGACUCAGGGUUCUUGUUGGACACCUACAGGCUACAGGGUUUUAUAGAGCCUGAAGAAUUAUGAGUAUACAGACCCACUCCUAUUAUACCUUUUUUUUUUCUAUAUUUUUUUGUUAUUUGAUACUUAUUACUGUAGAGUCCAAAUUUUAAUUUUAUAUUAAUUUUAAGUUAAAUUUUAAAUCUCAAUUAUAUGUGUUUUUUUUUUUUCACUCACCUUUUAAUUUUUAAUUUUUAUUAUUUUAUAAAUUAUUUAUUUAUUUUUUUUAAUUUUAAUUUUUUUUAUUCAUUUUAUUUAUUAUUAUUAUUAUAUUAUAUUAUAUUUUUAUAUUUUUUUAUUUUUUUAUUUAUUUUUAUUUUAUUUUUCAUCUCUCCUCUCUCUUCCCUUUUCUCCUCCACCCACGUUCUUCUCUCUCCUCCCACCCUCCUCACCACCCGCCACCACUUCAUUUCAUCCCUUUUAUUUUUUUAUUUUCUUUUCUUUUUUUUCCUCCCACUCUUCUCUCUCUUUCCCCAAAAAAACUCCCUUUCCCUGCUCCCCCCCCCCACCCCCAAUUCCCAAGACUUUUCCCCCCCCUCCAUUCACUCCCACUGGCCAGCACCCCACCCGCGGAUCUUCCCAUUUUUCAUUUUCUCUGCUCCCCCCGAACUCCCACACGCCGGCCCCCAUGUUUCUUUUCUUUCCUUCUCCAUCUUCUUCCUCCUUCACAGCACUCCACCACACCGCCGUUCCAGCAGCACGACCCCAACGCCCACUCCCGUCNNNNNNNNNNNNNNNNNNNNNNNNNNNNNNNNNNNNNNNNNNNNNNNNNNNNNNNNNNNNNNNNNNNNNNNNNNNNNNNNNNNNNNNNNNNNNNNNNNNNUCUUCUUCCUCCUUCCAGCACUCCCCCACACCGCCCUUCCUUCUUCACGACCCCAACGCCCACUCCCGUCCCGAUGCCUUUUCCAGCGUACCUCCAUUUUAAUUUUUAUUUAGUUUUAUUUUGCUUCCCAAAAACCCAUCCACCCCCUCUGCCGCUGGUAGGGCCAUCGACCAAUCGCCGCUGACGAGCCACUACUGGCCGAUGACCCCCUCCCCAUCUCAUCCGUUUGUUAUUAUUAUUAUUAUUAUUGUUAUUGUUGUUAUUAUUAUUAUUGUUGUUAUUUUAUUUUAAUAGUAAUUGUUGUUUGUGAAAUUUGGAUUGUUGAAUUAAAAUGAAAUUUGAGGUUAAUUUGUUGUUAGUAGAUUAAUACGUAAUUUGAUUUAAUUUAUUGUUAGUGAAUUAAUUUGAAAUUUGUUAAUUUGGGUUUAUGGGCAUAUUGUAUUUGGUGAUUAAUUUGAGGAUAUUGAAUUAUAUCAAUUUCAUAUUGUUUAUUUGGACUUGGGUCUAUUGUUAAGUUGUUAUUUGUUUGGGCUUAUUGGAUUAGGCUUGAAAUAUUAUUUCUCUUGACCAUGUAUUUUUUUAUGUGGGCUCGUUAAUUGAUGUGAAUUUUGGGGCCCAUAAUGUAGGUGAGAUUUGUUGGAUUAUUUUAAUAUUUGAUAUGGGCUUGACCAAUUUGAAUUGUUUAAUUUGGACAUGGGACAAUUGUGGUGUAUAUUAAACUAGACUUAGAUUAUAAAAUAUUAAAUUUAGGUCUAAUAGAAUUUAUUUUAAUUUGUCUAAUUUUAGGUUUGGUUGAUUGUGUUUGUAUUUUUUGUCAUUAAUUUGGAUGUUCUAGGUUAAGACCUAUAGUAAUUUGGGCUCAUUUUAAUUAACGAAAUUUAUGAGACUAAUUUGAAAUUGGAAUUUGGGUUUGAAUAUUUGUUUGAGAUUUUAUGCAUCUCUAGAUAUUUAUAUUUGUGUUAUUUUUGUUUUUGUAUGUGGACCCAUUCUGCAACCUUGUUGGCUGAGUACGAAUUAAUGACACGUGAAGCUUGUUGUAAGUUUAUUUGGGUACAUAUUUUAUUUCCCACUUUUGUUUUGUUUUAUUUUAAUUAGUUCUUUUAAAUAUUUGUGUGUAUAUAUUUAUUGAAUGUGUAUAUAAUUAAACAUCGAACAAAUUAGAAAUUUUGUUUAAAUGAGGAAGAAUUCAGUGAAUAUGUUAUAAUAAAAUACUAAUUUUAAAAUAUUCUUUUUAAUAAAAGAAUUUUUUUAUUAUUUAUUAUUUAUUAUUUAUAAAAAUUCAGAAAAAUGCAUUAAGAAAAAUCCAAAAAAAUUGUUUUUAAUAAAAUUUGAAAAAUUGUUUUUAAUGACAUUGUUUAAAAAUUUCUUUGUUUAAUAAAAAUUGUCCAAAAAUUGUUUUGUAAAUAAAGUUGUUCCAAAAAUUAAUUUGUAGUAAAAUUGUCUAAAAAUAUUUUUUUCAAAUAAAUUCUUUUUCCUUAAUUAAAAUGGGAUUAAAAAUAUUUUUCAGAAAUAGAGAAUUUAAAUCUUUAUUUUUCUUUUUAAUUAAAAUUUCUUUUGCAAAUAAAGUUAUGACAUUUUAAAUAAUUUAUAAAAAUCAUUUUUUUAAAUGAAAAUGAAUCUAAAUACUUUUGUAAAUAAAAUUGUAAAAAUUUAUUAUUUUCUAGUAAAAGCAAGUAAAAAUAAUUUGUGUCCCCAAAUUGAAAUUUUGUAAUAAAUUCUUUUGAUACAAUAAGUGUAAAUAGCUUUUUUGAAAAUUGAAUACAAUUGAAAUUGAGAAAAUAAAUUGAUUUUUUUUAUAAGUAAAUAAAUGGAAAUCAUUAAUUCAAAAUCAUUUUUAAUAAAAUCCUUUAAAAUUUCUUUAAAACUUUUUUUAAUAUAUUUUAUUUAUUUAAUUCAAUAAAUCAUUUCGCAUGAUCCUCUUAUUAUUUAUUGUGUAUUUUUGUAAUUAGAUUUCAUCAUUGUUUUUGUGCAUAUUAAUUUUUAUCAUGACUUGUAUAUUGAUUACUUUUCUUGGUAUGUAUAAUUAAUUGCCACAAUUUACUCAAUUCGUUUAAUAGAGGCCGUACGUAUACGGGCUUAGAAGGGUGCUACGGCUCACCACCGUACCUUCCCAAUGAGUAACUUGACCCCUGGACCUAGACUCAGUUUUUCAUAGACCCGUUUUUUUCUUCAGGAGUCACACUUAGGGUUUUUCUUUCUUAUUUUAUUUUCCCUUUAAAAAUAAAACAAAAAUAAGUGGCGACUCCAAGUCUUUUUCUAAAAAUCAAAAUUUCACCAAACAAAAUAAAAAAUCGAGCUCACCAAUGAGUGGGAAAGCAUCGAGCAAAAUGCGGGGUCCACAAUUACUCUUUUUUCAAAAAUAAAAAAUAAAAAAUAAUUUAGCCCUGUAUAAUCCACUGCUUUUUUUUAGAUCAUGAAAUAAUAAAAACUCUUUAAAGUUUAUUAUGAAAAAAUUAUUUAAAAAUUUUGAAAUACUGCAAAAAUUUUAUUACCUCAAAAUUUUAAAAUAAAUUUUAAAAACAUAAGUUUUAUCUAUGUUUUUUGGAUAUAUCUAAAGAUUUUAAAUUUUAAAAGCCUAAAUAAAUUUAGAAGGUAUUUAGUAAAACUUAAUAUUUAUUACUUGAUGAUUUAAGUUGACUUUAAGUUAAAUCAUAACUAAGUUAUUAACUUAAAACUUGUAUUUAAUUUUUACUUUAAGCAUUAAGUUUGUUUGAUAAAAUUAAUUUUAAAUUAUCAAAUUGACAUAUUUAUCCUUAUAAGUUAUAACUAUAGUAAAAAUGAUCAAGUGAUAAUGGAGGUUGUGGACUAACAAAAAUAAAAAAAAUUAAAGCAAUUAAGGCAAAUGAGGGUAAAGAAGUAAAAAUGAAAAUAUGAACGAAAAAAUAAGUUAAUUGUUUUUACUUAUUAUUUAAAGUUGUUUUUUACUUUAAUUCAUACCGUUAAAUUAUUUUACCAAACAAACUUAAUUUACUUAUUAACUUAAAUUAAGUUAUCAAGUCCCUUUAAGUCAUUAAAUUGGUUUAGCAAACACCCACUUAUUUAUUUACUUAUUCUACUAUUUCUAUAUUUAUCUAAAUUUUCUAUUUUUUCUAGAAUAUAUAUUAUUCCUUUUUUGAUAUAAAAUAUUUAAAUAGCUCUAUCACUAAACUUUUUUUCUAUAUUUCUUUUUUUUCAUACAUUUUUAUAUAAAAAAAACUAAAUAAUUUAUUUACUACAAAUUCAUGUUAUGUUCCUUCCAUUCUUUUUCCUUAUUUCUUUAUUCUUUAAUAUAUAUAUUAUUCUUUUUUUUUUAUAUAAAAAUUUAAAUAAUUUAUUUAUUAAAAUUUCCUAUUUUCCCCAUAUUUCUUUGUUCUUUAAUAUAUAUUUCCAUAAUUUUUUAUAAAAAUAUAUAUAAAUAAUUUAAUUACUAAAAAUCCCUAAUAAUUUUCAUGCAUCUUUCACAUUUAUUUAUUCUUUAAUAUAUUUACAUUGUUAUUAGCCCCCUGAUUUUUCUACACCAUCCGUUUUGUAUAAGAAUAUUGAGAAAUAUUGGUUAUAAGGAGUGAGGAGUUACAACUCGUUUGACUCAUUGUUUUAUUAUGUUUGUUUUCAAAUAUUGUGUUUAAAUUAAAGAACAAAAAACCAUUUUUUAAAAAAAAAUAAUUUUAUAAAAGCAAGGGUGUUUGGGCAGUUAUUUUUAAAACCAAUUUUUAAAAAUAAUUUUUCUAUUUUCAUUUUGUAAAAGUAUUAUAAAUUAUAUAUAUAUGUUACAAACAAAUUUAAAAAAUAAAUAGUUUUUAGUAAAACAUGAAUAUCAAUAUUAUAAUAAAAUCAAAAAUGAUAUUUUUUAUAAAAAAAAUUAUUUUAAUAUAUGGUUAUUUACAUCUUCGCAAAAGCACAACUAAUUUUGUUUUUGUUUUCUAAAGAAAAGAACAAUAAUAAUAAUUUAAAAAUAAUAAUAAUUAAUAAUAUUUUAUUUAAAAUGAAAUCGCAGAUAAAUUUGAAUUUUUUAACAUGUAAAUGAGUUAAAUUUUUCAUUACAUGAUGCAUUUAGUACUCAAUUAAGAAUGCUUCAAUUUAAUAUGCAAUUAAUUGGAUUAGUUUUUUAAAUUUCAUAUUAUUUUUAAAAAUUAAAAUAUUUUUUCCUUAAAAAUUUUAAAUUAUUAAUUAUAUCUUGCUUAAUUUAGAAUAUAUUUACCCAAUGAGAAAAUUAAGAAAAUAUAGUUGUGUAGAUAAGAGAAACAAUAAGAAAAUUACAAAAAUAUAAUUAUAUGGAAGAAAAAUAUUAUGAACAGAUUUUUAUUCAUAAUUUUUUUUUUGUAUUAAUGAGUUUACUAUUUGAAUUUCAAAUUAUUUUUAAAAAUUACUUAACUCAUUAACAAAUCCAAUGCAUCAAAUCUUUUUAUUUAUCUAGUAAUAUCUAUAUAUAUAUAUUAAUACAUAGUUUUUUGUAUAAGAAAAAAAAUAGAGUUAUUAUAGACCAAUUUUUAUCUAUAAAUACAUAGUAUUAAUUGGAUAAUUAUUUGAAAAUCAAAUUAUUUUUAGAAAUUACUAGACUUGUUAAUGAAUCCAGCACAUUAUAUCAUAUUUAAUUUAAAUUUAUUUGCCUAGUGAAAAAAAAAUGAUUUUAUCUACAAGAGAAACAAUAGGGUCAUUCAAAAUCAACAAUGUCAUUUGCUUUUUGUGAUUUUUUCAAUUUCUCUACAUUUUCCUUUUAUUUAUAAAAUCUAGUAAAAAUAACUUAUACUUGUUCUUUAAAAACUAUUUUUUAUAUCACUUUGUUUUUAAAAACUUGAAACAAAGAACGACUUAACAGUCUUAUGAAUUUUUAAAAAUGGAUUUUUGUUUUUAAAAAUAGAAAAUUGUUUUUUAAUCACACACCCAAACCGACUCUAAGAGUCUAUUUUGAAACUUUUUCGAAAAUUGUUCUCAAAAAAUAAUUCUAAGAUGUUUUUUUAGAAUAAAAGUCCGGACCUGCAUUUUUCAUGCACGUUCCUAAUUAACGACGAGACUCGUUUUUUAUUUAUUUGGUGAAAAAUAUAAUUUUUAGAAAAGGCUUGGAGUCACCACUUAUUUUUGUUUUAUUUUUAAGGGAAAACAAAAUAAGAAAGAAAAUCCUAAGUGUGACUCCUUAUUUGGAAAAGACAGUCUGUGGAAAACCAAAGUCGAGUCUAGGGGUUAGGUUACCUAUUGGGAAGAUAUGGUAAAUGACCGUAGCACCCUUCUAAGUCCCUAAAAACGAGUCUCUACUAAAUAAGGUGAAGCACGUGUGGAAAUUGAUAAGGAAAUCAAUGGAUACUAAUGAAAUGAUCAAAUAAUAAAACGAAUAAUGCAUGAGAAUAAGUAAAGUGGAAGUGAGAUUGUACCUUAGUAGCAAGUAAUAGUGCGUUAUCAUGAAACGAGAUUAGUGCACAAUAAUGAAAACAAAAUAUAUCGCAUGUGUCACAAAACAGAGUAAGAAAUCCUCAAUGGCAGUUAUGCACUUCACUCAAAUCAUUUUUACAGAAAAUAUCAUGGAUGUUAGGUCCCCACCAAAGCCCAAUUGAUUUUGUAUGAAUUAAUCCCACAAAUUCCAUUAUUUUGGAAUGAUGAAAAAUUCAUUCAUACUUAUUAAAAAUUGAGAAAAUUGAAAAAAAAAAUUUUAAAUUAAAGAAAAUUUGUGAAAAUGCAUGCCUAGAGAGAAAAUGGCAAGUUUAUUAAAAACAAGAUUUUUUUUAUGACUCUAAACCCUAAGGAAGGAAGAAGAAAAGAAAUGACUUAAAAUUAUUUGAAAAUCAGAGUGAAAUUAAAAUUAUUUGAAAAUCUAGAGUUUUGAAAAUUGAAGUUCUAAAAAUUAAAUUUGAAAAUUGGAGUUUUGAAAAUUAUUUGAAAAUUGGAUUUUUGAAAAUUAAAUUUCUAUACCAAACGAUAAAAAAACAAAGAGGAUGACGCAUCGCCUUUAGGUGGUGCACUAAAGGGUGGCCAUGUAUGGCGAUACAAGAGUGGGACCUGAGGUGUAAGGUGGCUGCUCUAUGGAUGCUGGUGGUUUCAACUUGGAGCAAGUAGCUUGUUUGCUGACCUUCUGCUGGCUUGUGUAUACCUUCAUGGGUUGGUCGAAAUAGAAACUUCACUCUUAAAUCUGUGUUGUUCUUGAACAUUGCUAUUGGGACAUCAUCCACCAAGAAUACUAUCAGAUAUAUAUUUCAUAGAACUGAGUACGAGUGGAAAGCCUUGGUUGGGCCAAACCAAAGAUAGAUUCUCUGUUCUCUUUCUAAUUUUCUUCCGGUGAAGAUAUUUGUUGUAAAAUGGAGGGUUGGUCGGACUUGUUCCCAGAGAACUCAAAGUCUAUUUCAUCAUGUCUGAGUUUUGAGAAGAUAGAUAGAAAACAGUAAUAGUCCCUGUGCAUUUGUCAAGGACGAGCUGAAUCUCAAAGCCUCCAUUAUAGGACUUGAUGUGAUCAAAAACCCAUGUAAGCACAUAGUUUCUACUAAAUGGCACAUCGAUGCACUUUCUUGGAGCAGCACCCUUCACUCCAGAAAGCAUAAACAGUAAACCCAGAGAGCGAACCCACAAGUUUUUUUGGUUUCGAGAAGGAGAGACUGAGGAAGUGUGGUGAGUAAGGUAAUGAGGUUCCGAAACGAAGUUUUCUGACUUGAGGUUUAGAUUUGCUGAAAGAAGGAUUGUGAUGGAGGCUUUUCCAAGGCUUUGGGUGGCCAUACAUGCAUGGGUCACAUGCACAUGGGAAUGGAUGGAAAUGAGCUUUCUCAAUAUUUGAAUUGAUUCCCCGUACUCAUUUUUGACUUAGGCACCAUUCCAUCAAACAGAAGAACUUCAUCUGGAAAGAGGUGCUUGAAAGUGGCACACCAAAAGGUGGCCAUAAAAGCCAUGCAAAAGCCAAAAACAGAGGAAUGGAAUGCCCGAGACUAUGCAUCGAAGGUGGCCUUUCCUUGUUGGUAGCCAAUGUUCAUAAACUUGUGAGGAACUCUUCCAUAGAAAACCCACUUGCUAAGCUCAAUAAAAAAAAAUUGCCCACUGCUGAAUCUCUUUCUUGUAUCAUUCUACUCCCAAAUUAUUGACGCGAUCACUUGGUAUUCAUGAUGAUUUCUGCUAACCUAUGUAAUAUGUAUUCCAUUAGAGCCUAUUCUUAUAGUCUAUUAAUCUCACGUGAUGGCUUUAACCACCCAGAGUUUGACUGAGUGAACCAUGUCCAACAAAUUGAUUCAACAGCCUCAUGGCCAUAGAAACAUGUAGAGAUGGAAAAGAGGGCAUCCAAUACCCAUGGGUAUUUCCACUUAGGGGGUGUUUGGUACGUCGGAAUAAGGAAUGGAAAUAAUAUUUUGUUUCCUUUCAUAUUUCUUAGUGGAAUGGAAUGAAUUUGAUGAUUCCAUUUCUAGCAUUUGGAUGAACUUAGGAAUGCAAGAUUGGAAUGAUUAUUGGUUUCCAUUCCAAUGUUUGAUAAUAAUAGGAAUGGAAAUGAAAAAGAAAUAAAUUUACAAUAAUAUCCUUACAUAUAAUUUAAAAUAUUUUUUUAUUUUUACUUUUAUUUAAAAAAAUAAAAUUUGAGAGGUUUUUUGUUAUUAAAUAAUAAGACUAAAAAAAUAUAUAUAUACUCAAUAAAUAAAAAAUUAACCAUAAAAAAUUGUAUAACCCUAAUGCACAAAUAUUCAAUUAUUAUUUUUAUUAAAAAUUUGAAUAAUUUGUCAUGCUUAAGUAGUUAUAAAAUUAUAUUUUUCAAAAAAAAAUUAUUUAUUAUAAUAUUUAAAUUCUCAAAGCUAGCAAAUGUUUUUCCUAUUUUCAAAAGAGGAAAUAAAAGAAUUCAAAUUUAUUCUAAUUUUCAACAAGUAUCAUAUCCGAUAAAAUCCAUAACCUUAAAAAAUUUUAAAUAUUCGUUUUUUUAAUCAAAAUUUUAAAUAAUUUGUCAUGCAAAAAAAGCUAUAGAAUUAUAUUUUACUAAGAAAAAAAAAGUGAAAAAAAAUAUAAGAACAUAUAAAUUGUCAAAGCUACCAAAUACCUAUUUCUUAUUUGCAAAAAAGGAAAUAAAAAACACAAACUUCAUUCUAGUUCUCAAAGAUAAAGAAACAUCAAAGAUUCCAAACAUAAAUUAAUAAAAAAAAAAAUUAAUCGAUUUAUAGAGAAAAAGAAACACAUAUAAAGAAGUAGAAGAAGAAAGAGAAAAUAAGGUAAACCUGAUCGAAGAUGUAGAAGGGAGUUUUCAGAACCUAGUUGCAGCAAACAAUGACGAAUCCUAGAUCCAACAAUCAAAAUGAACAUCCAAAACCCUAUAAAUUAGAAAUUGAUUUUUUUUUUUUUAAAUAUCGUGGAAGGUUUAAUUGAUUCAAUUUGGAAGAAUCACUUGUUGCAGAGAAUUGGAUGAUGAGUGGGUCUCUAGCUUUGCAAAGAAGAUAAGAAGUGGAUGAUGAAUGGAUCUCUACCUUUGCAAAGAAGAUAAACAUCAGGUUUGAAGAACAAGAUAAGAGGGUAAAAUAGUAAUUUAGGUUAUUUUAUAUUAUCAAAUAGGUUUAAUGAAUCAGAAUACCACCUACUUUUAAUGAAUGCAAAUCCAACUCAUAAGUUGGAUUUGAUUUCUGCCGGAAUAAUUUUUUAUUUCAUUUUCGCCUUCUUAACAUUUAUCCAAACAUAGGAAUAAGGGAGAAAAGGAAUGAGACGUCUAUUCCCACUCCCUAUUCCCGUGUACCAAACACCCCCUUAUUGUUUUAGUAGGUCAUGAGCGUAGAUAUAGUGCUUCAGAGUAAAAGGGUACAACAGAGUGAUACAGUUGCUAAUUUUCAUGUAAAUCACAAGAUGAUGGAGACUUCCAAUUGCAAAUUCUCGAAGGAAAAAAAAUCAGAUCCCCAUAGUGCCUACUGUUCCUUUAAUGCUUUUGAAGAUGGGUUAUUGAAAGUCUUGAAUGCACCUUCUACUGUUGUCGUUGGUGCGUUACUGAACAACGAAUGGCAUGGGAUUCAUGAAGUCGGGCUUGGAGCUUCAUGUGAUUGGAAAUUUUUCAAGAAAUCACCACCAAGAGACAUAGAGUGAUGAAGCUCAAUGGAUUGACUCACUAGUCGUCCAACCAACCAAUUAACAUCAUUGUCUAAUCCUAUAGAUCUACAAUCGGGAAAUUGGGAGUGAGAUAUUCAGGUUUAAUAACUGGAUUGUAUCAUGCUCAUCAGUUCUCUUCAUCUCAAAAAUCACCUUGGGCAUUUUUUUGCAAGUGGAUAAAUUGGGUUGUAGCUACUUGCAAUCCCAGCUAGUGUUUUUGAUCUAGUUAUUGAUGAGAUAGUUGAUUGCCCAAAUGAGAACACGAUUUGCACAGCAGGCACGAAGGAUGCUAUAGCCUCACUCCUCCAAUCCCAGUAGCUUGGCCAUUGAUGAUAUCAUCCCACCAUCAACAAGAAACAGAUCAUGAAAUAGAGAGGAAGAAAAAAAAUGUAAAAACAGAGUAAGAACUUAACUCUAUGUAAUGGACUAUCAAAGAGCUAGGAGUACAUGGAAUCCAAAGAAAACAAGAGCAUCAUUUUAACAUCUCAAAUUCAAGGAGUAGUGCAUUAGAUAUUUACAAGAGAAAAUAGAAAAAAAUCCUCAAAAUAAACCAAAACAGAGCACGCAUGUAUAGAGUCCUACUCUACAAAGCAAAUGAGUGGCCCUUAAUGUCCACACCAAUCAACAAAGCAAUGCUCAUAAAAGUGGCUAAAAAUGGGAAUGAAACAGUGAGAAAAUAAGAGACAAGAAGCUCGUAUUGGCUUUAUCUGGAAUGCUCACUCAUAAACCCCCGAGUUGUCUCAGUUCCAGCUCCCUUUUUCCCUUCCUGAAUUCGUCGGAUCACUUUCUCCUUCUUCUGGUCUUCACUCCAUCCUUUUUAUUCAGCCCUCUUAACAACCAGCACACCCCUCUAUUCUUGUUUCUCGUCCAAGCCUCCACCAGCUCUACUGUUUCCCGUUCAGAGACAUCUCCUUCCUAACCACCACCAUGUCGAGGUAGCAAUGUCCUUGGUCACGCGUCCCAUUCAGUUUGCUCACCUAUGAAAGUCGUCCCCCACUCCUCUCUAUAGUGAUGGUGUUUCACCAUUCUGCCCUCUCUCCCCAAAAGACCAAUCUCUCCCGGGGUGGUAAGAAGGUGGUGAGGAAAAAAGAAAAAAAAACCAAAUAAAACAAAAAUACCUCUCCUCGCCCCCCUCCCUCCCUCCCCACUAAUAAUAGUGAUAAAAAAUGUCAACUGGUCCAAAAGAGGGGUAUACAAAUAUGCUCCUCUUUGGUAGAGCUCACGAGUGUAAGAAAUGUGAACAUCGAAAUGAAAUGAGAGUGUGAAUAAUGAGUGUAACGAAAUGAACUCUACUGAAGAAAAAAAAACCCUAAAGGUACACAAGUAGAACACAAACUCGCUUAAGCCAACAAAAGAACAAAAGAGGCUUUAAAACCUUACAAAAACGAGUAAGAAUGGAUUAAGCAAGAAAAAAAGAAACUCCUAAAGUGCCUCUAAAGUUACACUAUGGAUCUAGAACUCCCUCUGAAAAGUCUCCAAAAAUGACUCGAAAAUCGAUGUCGAAGUCAAGUAGCAGUUGAACCACCAAGGAAUACAAGAACGAAAAUGUACAAAGGAAAAAACCAUACGUGUACCAUACAAGGACACAAGGCAUAAGGUAUCCAACAAUAUGAUAGGAAUACACGAUAUGAGCUCAAAGCUUUAUGUUGCAUGCAUGACAGAGAGGAAAGUCUAUGGGUGAUGCUCUAUGAUGAAGAAUUGAGAAACACAUAUUCAACGAAGUGAGAAGUAUGGUGAAAUGUGAAGCUAUGAGAAUAGGGCGUGCAAUGCUAGUGAUUAAGAAUGUUGGGAGUUGUAACUUUGAAUGACAAGGUUGACUAUAAAUGCUAAACUAAGAAAAGUAUGGCUUUAGAAGCCAAACCAAAAAGCUAAAUCAGAAGGCCUAAAGGUGAAGUCUUACGAUGGUGAUACAACUGAAAUGCCCAUAGAUGUCAAUCUAUGGUGGUGAAACUCUCAAAGGCCCACAGAUAAAAAUCUAUGGUGGUGAUAAUCUCAAAGGCCCAAGGAUGAAAAUCCAUGGUGGUGAAUCAACUGAAAUGCCCAUAGAUGCCAAUCUAUGGUGGUGAAACUCUCAAAGGCCCACAAAUAAAAAUUUAUGGUGGUGAUAAUCUAAAAGGCCCAAGGAUGAAAAUAUAUGGUGGUGAAUCAACUGAAAUGCUCAUAGAUGUAUGAUCUAUGGUGGUGAAAAUUGAUCAAGGCCCAUAGAUGAUAAUCUAUGGUGGUGAAUCUGAAAUGCCUAUAGAUGUCUGAUCUAUGGUGGUAAAAACUUAUCAAGGACCAUAGAUGAUAAUCUAUGGUGGUGAAACUAAAAUGCCCAUAGAUGUUUGAUCUAUGGUGGUGAGAAUCACUGAAAUGCCCAUGGAUGUCCAAUCCAUGAUGGUAAGAUAACCGAAACAAAUCCUCAUAGAUGAAAAUCUAUGAUGGUGAGAUAACUAUAACAAAUGCCCAUAGAUACACAAUUUAUGGUGGUGAAUCUGAAAUGUCCAUAAAUGUCUGAUCUAUAGUGGUGAAUCUGAAAUGACUAUAGAUGUCUGAUCUAUGGUGGUGAAAGUUGAUUGAGGCCCAUAAAUGAUAAUCUAUGGUGGUGAAUCUGAAAUGCCUAAAAAUGUCUGAUCUAUGAUGGUGAGAAUCACUAAAAUGCCCAUGGAUGUCCAAUCCAUGGUGGUAAGAUAAUUGACAUGCCUAUGAAUAUCUAAUCAAUAGUGGUGAGAUAAUUGAAUAAAAAUGGAUGCCCUAGACAAACUGAUGAUAGGGGGAUGCCCUAAACAAACUGAAAAAAGAAAAAAGAAAAAAAGGAGUGUCUUAAACAAACUGAUGGUAGGGGAAUGCCCCAGACAAGCUGACAGUAGGGGAAUGCCCUAAAAAAAUUGAAGAAAAUGGGAAAUGACUUAAACAAACUAGAAGAACUGGGGAUGCCCCAAACAAAUUAACGGUAGGGGGAUGCCCUAAACUGACGAAAAGAGGAUGCCCUAAACAAACUAAUGGAAAAUGGACGUCCUAAACAAAUUAAAAGUAAAGGGAUGCCCUAGAUGAUAACUCAUAAAAAUCAACAAAUGGGUCUAACAACCAUGAAAUUAGCAUGAGAUGUGAUAAGCUCAAAGAAGGGGGUAUGCCCCAAUAGAAGAGCGCUAAAGGGGGUACGCCCCAGUAUGACGACUCACAAAAAUUAGGAAAUAGAUCAAGUAGUGAUGAGGUUUGUAAUAGACCCGAUGAACUUAAAGAUGGGGGUAUGCCCUAGUGUAAGAUGGUGACCAACAUAAGACAUAAAAUGUCACCAUACAAGACACUCUAGGAUAUGCUCAAUGACAAUGUAAUGAAAAAGUCUAACACCAAAAAAAUAAAUGCUUAGAUAAGACCAUACAUCACAGAAACCAUGCUAACAAAGCAAAACUAAAAUAAUGGACCAGACAAAUGCUGACCAAGACUCAAAGUUUGAAAUGUAAGCAAAGCAAGACACAACAUAUCAACUAUCAAUAUGAAAACAUCAUCACAAAUACAUCAACAAUCUAAUAGGCCAUGCCAUCAUGGAAGAAGUUGAACCUAAUGUAUAAAGGCAUGUGAAAACUCGACCAGAAAACUCAAGACUAGUCUGCAUCCUCUCCUGAUCAAGAGAAGGGGAUAAAGUCAUGUAGGAUGAUGAAAUAGGUGGGUUUAAAAGAAAUAUGUAAGGUUCUGACAAGAUAGAUGCAGGUAAUGGUAUCAAAGGUAGGAUGUUUAGAUGUCCAACAAAGGUAAGUGGGUAGUCAAAUCAAACUAGGUGAGCUAAGAAGAUUGAUCCCAAAAAUAUCAUCAUCUCUAUAAUCCAUCGAAAGCAGUAAUCAUAAACAGAUGGUCAAUUCUCAAUGUCAAAAUCAGUAAGGUGGUUAUGCCCCAGUAUGAAUGCAUCGUCUUAAAAUGGGUAAGCCUUAAGUGUAAGAUAAUCUCUGGGAAGUAUGGUCUGGCAUAAACUGUCAUCUCACAAAAUCCAUCACCAAUGAGUGGGCUAUGCCUCGGUGUAAGCAUCUCCAAAGCAAACGUCGAUGAGAAAAGUACAACCAAUCAUACAUCAUUUGAUCAAAAUGAAUCUCCACUCCUCAAAGUCAUCGUGGUAACGUGAAGAGAGUAUUUAACCUCACCUAAAGAAAUAUCAUGUCCCAAUGUGAAAAAGAUCAAGCAAAGUGGUAUGCCUCAACAAAAAUGCACUCUGAGAUGAUCAUGCCCAAAUGUAAGCUGGUAUCUCUAAGAUCAAUUGCCAAUGAAAGGGUUAUGCCCCAGUAUAGGGCAAUCUUUGAAAUGACUAAACUCCGCUGCAAGCUCUCACAAGUGUUUGUAUCCUGAUCCAAUCUUCUCAAAAAUCUGUUAAUAACAAUAAAAGGGCUAUGCUCUCGUAUAAACACAUCCAAUCAAAUCACCUAGUCAUAUCUCAUACUCCAAUGUGAAAGGAAUCUAAUCACCUCCAAGGAACAACUAUGCCUCAAAAACCAUCAUCAACUGAGAAAUAUGCCCCUGUGUAAAGUAGACUAGAUGGAAUAUACCAAUCAUGUCUCAUGCUCCAAUGAGAAAAAAGACGUCUGAUCUCCUCCAAGGGAUGGCCAUGACUCAAAAUCCAUCAUCGACUGAGAGAAGUAUGCCCUGACAUAAUGGUCAUCUAAAAAAAUCAACCCCCGACCAAGGAAGGUGUGCCCCAAUGAGAUGUAUCAAGCAAAAUGGUUGCAUAUCCGAUAAAAAUUAUCUGAGGUGGCUAUGCCUCAGUGUAGGGUCAUACCACAACUCCUGGUCCAUCACAAUCAAAGUGCUCUCCGACAAUUCCCAAAUAUCGCCCAUGUGAUAGUUAUAAAAAACACAACGUGUGAUAUCAUGGCCUCAAGGUAGUCUUAAGACCCAAGACCUAACGUAGGUUAGGGUAAUAGGGUUAAGAAAUGAAGGAAAACUAGGCUUAAAUACCCAAUAAUUAGAUCCCAUGCCCUCGUGUAUAAAAUGCAAUAUGUAUAGAAAAUCUUAUAAGUCAUGGACCUAAAUCUGUUCAAUAUGAAUAUAUCAGUGAGGAAAAAAAAGAGUCUAAGAUGAAUAUAUCAAUAAAGAAAUAGAAGAAAUGAAGAAUAUUGAACUACUGAUAAGAUGUAUAAGAAUGAUGUGUGGAAAAUAUCGAACAUGAAAUGUAAAUUGAUAUGAAAAAAUAACAAUGUAGGCAAGGUGAAUGAAAUACCAUGAGAGAAACAAAUAGAUCAAAAGAAAAUGAAUGAGCAUUGAUAUGCUCAAAUCAAGAUAUGAUAAACAGUCAAAUCAUCAAUGUAUGGACUGAUGGAUGAGACAAUGAUCCGGAGUCCCUAGGAAAAGGAGUCCCUAGGAAAAGGUCACUUGUCUCUCACACAUAAAAUACAUAACGAGAUAGACGCAAGAAUAUGAAAACCUCUUGAAAGUUCACAUACAAACUUUCAUAAGCAACUAACUCAAUAAAGCAGCCUUAAUGACCAAUAUAUACACUCAAUGGAGGAUGGCACCGUAUACAUACAUACAUACAUGUGCUUAUUAUUAUUAUUUUUUAUACUUGCACAUACUUUAAAUAUCAACAAACGAGCUCCAUUGAGAAUACAUAAUGAAAUGGAUAUACUCUUAAACAAUGAUGUACGUGAACUCUCUCUAACAAGAUGACCUUUUCAACUAAGGAUCUCUGAACCAAUGUCCAUGAAAUAAGAAUGGAAGGGGACAUGACCGUCUUCCAUGCACUGAAAUGUGAAAGAUCAUCACUCAUGGCAUAGAAAGAAACACGAUGACAAAGACAAAGUAUGGAACAAAGGAUAUAAACAAUGAGGUAUGAUGAAAAAUGAUGGUAGGAUAACAAAAUACUAAUACUAAUACUAAUAAUAAUAAUAAUAAUAAUAAUAGUAAUAAUAAUAAUAAUAAUAAUAAUAAUGAUGAGUCAAUAAGUCCAUGGCACAUGAGACUCCUGAAUAAAGCAUAUAUACACCGGAGGGCCCCUAUCCUAGUGUAAAAGGUGAUCAAGGCUAUAAGAAAGAAAAUGCUAUGAUGCUCAUGCAAGGCUCAAAGGGCUAGAAAUGGUCCAAAUGUUAAUAAAUAUAAUAGGAAGUGAGCUAAACAAAAUGAAGGCCACCCAUCCUACGACCACGGUCUCAAACAUCGUUCUCUCAAACCCUUAAAUGAUCGAUACUAAAGAUCGAUGCCCAUCUAAUAUAACCACGUCAACUCUCUAGAAUCGUGCGCUAAACCAUACUCCAAAUGCUCCAUAAUAAUCUCAAAGAUAAUCCUCUCAAAGUAAAGUAAACAAUGAUCUCAUCAGGCACAACUGCUCAUCACAAGCCAACUCUCAUCAUAUCGGAUCAACCUCUAUACUCAUGGUAAAAUAAAUGAAAAUCUUAUCAAGCAAUCAACCAAUCCUCACAUCGUAAGCCACCCAAAGAUCAUAAGUCAUCCUUCGCCAUGCAAGAUCAAUCCUGGGUUCAAACUCCUCACACUCUACCUGGUCAGAUCAAAGAGGAGAUAUACAAAGCUAGAACAGCUAGGAAUGGAAAGGUCAUAUAAUGGUGUCAGGGGUGAUGCUGUGUAAAACUCACAAUGGAUGGAUGUAGGUCAAAGAAAAGUUAAAGUGUGAGAGUGGGUAAGGUACUACUCUGAUCAUAAAAAGAUGGGUCACAAUCUCAAACUCCCUAAGUCAAAUCUCUGGUCCUAGGCUAAUAGGCUCAACAUCAUCAUUGAUAGGUCAGGCCUUAAGACUUUAAGGUGCAAGUGAAUAAAUGCCUCAAGGGAUAAUACAUCAUAUCACAAAACACAAUCAUAUGUUCAUAAAAGAAAAGACAUCCAAUGGAAUAACUGAUGAGUACAUCAUGCAAAAAGAAUGAUAACAAAGACAAUAAUCAAGAAUUGAGUUAUAGUCUCUAAAUGUCAAAAGUAAAACAAGACUAAAAAAUAGUGAUUAGUCCUAACAUGACAUCUCUAACCAUAAAGGGAACAAAACCUGAGUGUCAUCGCACCAAGGUAAGCCAAUCAUGAGUCAAUCACCUAAGUCAAUAAGAUCAGGGACUACUGGUGAAGGGGUGUCUGCAUGCAUGGCUUAAGAUGUGGUAGGAAUAAAAAUUAUAUCAAACUGAGGAUGUCCAAAUGUCCUAGAAUCAACAAUGUCCUAUAUGGCAUGUCGUAGAGCAGUGCAACGGUUAGUGUGAUGCCCUGUAGACUGAUGGUAUGCACAAUAUAGAUCAAGUCGAAACUGUGAAGGCAUAGGAUUUGGAGGUGGCCUAGGAGCCAAAGGGACCAAAAAUCCCAUGGCCUAGAACGUCUAAAAAACUCUGCUCAAGGGUAUGCCUAAGUUUGAAAAGUGUCUCUGAUAUCAUCGACGAGGGUGAAGCCGCUCUUGAGGAACUGUAAUAACCGGAUGGUCUUGAAGUUGGGAUGGAAGUUGUGUCAAUGUAGCCAAUGUAAUGGGUGAGGAAUGCUACUGGAGCACUGAAUGUGGGCGAGGUCAUGGAAGUGAGGCACCCAAAGUAACAGAUGCUGGUGAAGUCAAAUGUGGCAAUGAAGGCAUCACUACUCUUGGAGCUCAUCUCGAUGACGAUGGAUAUAUUCUAACAAAAUAAGCUCAAUCCUUUCAAUCUUCUAUGUCAAAUCCAUCAUCAUCUCAUAAAGAGUAGUAAGAGUAAUUGGUGCGAUCUCGUCUAACUUGGUGAACCACAACUGAAAAAGUCUAAUCUCAAUGUACUCUAUACCAUAACCAUCAUGCCAUUAAUCUUUACUCGGGACCCAGUCACGAUACUCAAAUUGUCAAAGACUCUAAACAAACACAUGCAAGAGACAAAACAAAGCAACACAUAAUGCUACUCAAGAUAACAACAUAUAAAAUGCAUGAUAUGAAACAAUAAUGAAAAGAACAAAAAACAAAAACACAUACUCAAGAAGAAACAAUAUCACUAAGUGAAACGAGAGUACAUCAUGCAAAAUAAUAGGACAAUAAGGUCCACUCUCGAAACACAGAGUACGAACUCGAAUCACUAACUAUAAAACAAAACUUAAAUAUAAAACAAAAGAGAACAAAAACUCAAACGACCAACUAAAAUGUAGUCCCAAAAUACAUCGACAAGGUUUGGAAUAUCAAAGUGUCUUGUGAAUAUCAGUGCCCUUGGUGUCUACAACAUGAUGGUAUAAGCCUGAAGGAGGAGAAACUACAUGUGUGGAAUAGGUUGGAAAGAAAUCAGCAGUCAUAUCUGGACCAAGAUCAGUAUCUAUGGUCGAUACAGGAAAGCUAACAGCACCAUUGUCAAUAAGAUCUUGUAUGGUAUGAGGUAGAGAAACACAAUAAUCAGUAUGGUGGCCUGCCAUAUGGUGAAAUGCACAAAACUAGUGAGCACAAAAAUGCAAAGGCAAAGUACUCGGGGGCAGCCUAAGGGUCAAUGGUACUAAAAAACCAAUAGCUCUAAGUCACUCAAAAACUCUAUCCAAAUACAUCCCCAAAUCAUAAUAAGUUCUUUGAUGUCGCCGAUGGGGACCAAACUGCUCAUGUCGCGGGGUACUAGUCUGUGGACGCUGAAACUGAAAUAAAGGUCGUACUGUGGUAGUAUGAGGAUAGAAGGAUACUGCUCAACCAACUGAGGAUGACGAUGCUAUGAGGAUGGGAAAUCACUCCUAGGUAUCUGAAAUGAUCUAGCAUAGGGAUGAUAACUAGGUCAUCGAUGUUGAAAGCUCGUAGAACAUACACCUCCAUUGCUCUCAAAUGAUCCAAUAACUCUCUUCCCCUUCAUAUUUGGGGAAGAAGUAAUAUCUAACCAUAAUCCUUUAGAUAUGCCUUCAUUUACAUCGAACAAAGCCCGAACCAAUGAUCUGAAAUCCUAGAAAGGGAUCCCCCUCAAACGUUGAGCAAACCUAGGUUGCAAACUCGUAAAAAACAUGCACAUCUGAUCUAUCUCGAUAGGUCGUUCAAUCAUUUUCGUAGCCUUCUCCCUCCAACGAGAGAUAAAAGAAGAAACAGGCUCAUUUGAUUUAUAUCUAAGAGACUCAAGCUUUCUACGUGUAAUGCUCGUAUUAUUACUAAAUGAAUAAUGUCUUAGAAACUCCUAUGCUAAGUCAUCCCAAGUUCUUUGAUGAGAUGACUCUAAUAAAGCAUACCAUCUCUAUGUUGUGUCGCUCAAUGAAAAUGGGAACAAAGUGAGCAACUGUGCCUCAUCUAGACUAAGAGCCCUCAUAACUAUGCUGUAAAGUUUGAGAUGAAUAUAAGGACAUCCAACACCCAUAUAUCUCUUUAUCUCAGGCAUCCUGAAACCGAUUGGCAAAGUGGUCACUGACAUAUCAUCAGUGUCAUCCCAAGAAAUCGUCUCAUCAUGAUCUCUCAUCCAUCUAAUCCUUAGCUCGAGUCUGUCCAUACUAGAGUGAGGAUCCUCAAUAAAGGUAACUAGUGUGACAAUGGGUGGAAUGACAGCAGCCUGAUCAUGUGAAAUAGUAUGCAAAGUCUGUGUAGCUAACAUAUGAACAAGUAGAGGUGGUCGUGGUACUAAAUUAGAUGGUGUGUCCUUGAGCACUACAUGCUUACUUUGCUGAGUAUCCAUCUUCUAACUCAAACCGAUCAAUGCCUCUUGAAUCGAAGCCACAUAAGUGGUAAGCUGACUAAUUGAAAUCGACUGUGAAUCCUUCUAUAGCAACUCUGUGAUACGAAUCAACCUCUCUCCAACUCAACCCAGGGCACUGAACCAAGAUUGGGACUACAAAUAGACUCCUAUAAAAGAACCAAACAAAACGACUCAAACACAACUCAUGUAAUGACGUAGGAUGCAACAAACAAUGACCAAUGCAUGAUACAACACAACCCAAUACAUGACAAGGUGCAAUACAUAGUCCUGUGGUGACAAUCAAAAUUUGGAUAUAUGAUAGAAACUUUAGAGUCAUAGGAGUGUCCAGUGUGAGAUGGCUAUAAAUAUGACUAAAUAAAUUCUAUCAAUGAUCUAGACAAUGAAUGAGGUGUGAAGAAAAACACUAUCACGAGAUCGAUACUCAAUCUAUAACAAAAUAUCCUUAAUUCACUUUCAACCCGAGCUCCAUAAAGAAAAAUGAUAAGGUGAUCAAGGCAAAUCUCUAAAAAAUGUAUGAAUGUGAAAACGAGUCUUUCACAUUUUUGUAGUGAAAAUGAUAAGCAUCGAGUUGAAAAUAGAAUCAAAUGAAUCAAUCAAAGAAUGAAAUAUCAGGCCCAUGAUAAUUCUAGAAGGGUGAACAUGAUGGAUGAGCAUAUCCCAACAUGUCAAGCAUAGUGACAACAAAUCGAAAGAAUGUGUCAACUUAAGAAAAAAAGACUACUUAACAAGCAACAAGAAGAAGGCAACACCAUACAACAAGGAGUGGUCCAACUGAUACUCAAAUUCGCUCUGAUCUCUAAGCACUUUAUACUAGAGACCAAAAGAAGGAAGUACUGGAUCCAGACUAUAACUAAAAAGGCUCUGAAAGCUCUCAGAUGCACCCACGUGUAGGGAAAGAAUCUUGAUCGAAUGAUCUAAGGCUUGCUAGAUAGGGUCAAGGUGGCUCUAGAAGAAAAAUGGGUGGACUUUAAAGGAUCCUUAGCAGAAGCAAUCAUACCCUCUGACAGUACGCAACCCUAGGCACGCUUCUGAAGAGAUGGGGCGCUUCCAUACAAGGUGGUCAUCACCUCCACACAUGCACUAGCUCAACAUCCUAAGGGGUUUCCUAUAGUGAAAGCUCUCGCAACUCUCAGUACUCAAUAGUCAACUAAAGUGCACAGUGAACAGUGUGGGUGCAUCCGACAAACCUAUGAAGCUAAAAUAGAAAAAGAAACACACUAGUCGCACAAAUAUCCAUGAAACCUAGCUUUGGGUUAUAUAGGCCUUCAAAGAUCGGACUCCAAUCAACAUCAAUGUGUCGGUCUCCUCCAGAAUGCUCCCAAACAUAGAUAUAGGCCAUCACUAAACCUUACUCCAAAUCACUAGCUCGAUCGAAGAGCAAACAAAGUAACAAGUCUCGUAUCAAAUACGAGAUCAAAGGAAACAAGGUCAACCGAGACUAGGGAGUUGGAGAUAAAGGGAUAGAUGUGUGUCCCACACAGACGAACAACACAUGCAUCACAUAGAAAAAGAGCAGUCAUGCAACAAAGAGUUAAACAAAGUACAAGUAUAUCAUUCAUGUCCACACACAAGCCAAACGAGAACAAGACAAUCAAGAUGAAUGCAACAAGGAUGCCAUGCUCAAAGAUGAUCAAGAUAAUAUACAAGCAAAGGAGUCAACACUAAGACAACAAGAUAUACAACAAUGUGAACAUACAUGUCAAAAAGAAAAAUCAAUAUGCUAAGACAAUCAAGAAAAUCAAUCAAUAUCAUUAGCAUGUCAAUGUCUCAAAUGGAUAUAGCAAUCAAUCAGAGGAAAUCAUCACAUCAAACUCUCAAUGUGCUAUGAACACUCAAGCAUAGAAAAACACAAGGAGAAGGUAUGCAUCAACUAACUAGUCAAACGCCACAUUUGCCUCAACUUAGGUUCAAGUUUGACCCUCCUAUGAUUCCCCAGUAGAGUCACCGUUUUGUGGACCUGCGUUUUUCAUGUGCGUUCCCAUUUAACGGUGAGACUCACUUUUAAUUUAUUUAGUGAAAAAUAUAAUUUUUAGAAAAGACUUGGAGUUACCACUUAUUUUUGUUUUAUUUUUAAGGGAAAACAAAAUAAGAAGGAAAACCCUAAGUGUGACUCCUUAUUUAGAAAAGACAGUUUUUGGAAAGCCAAAGUCAUCUACGAUCCAAUAUAGUGUGAGUGUGUAGUUCAUUUUAGAGUGUCGUCAUGACCAAUUCCAUAAUUGUUCACAUCAUGCUAAAAAAAGGAAGUGAGGUCUCCCCAAAAGUUCAGUUCAGUUGGAGUUCAUAGAAGCAGGUUCAAAUACAGAGCACUUGGGCUUGUUUUGAUCAUAUCUCCCUCAUCCAAACUCGGAAUUACGCACUAUUUUUUUUUGUUGGAUUCCUUAUUCUUCAAGGAAUAUUUUGUUAAAAUUUCAAAUUUUUCCUCAACCGGUUCGUCAAGUUUUUUUUUAGGCGGUUGACUGGUUGGCAACCAGUCGACCGGUUCAUCGGGGCUGCUUACGAAUGACUUUGUUUUUGGCAUUUUUGGUACUCUUGUUCAGGUUGGUUCGAGCCCUGGUGCUCUAGAUGGGUUAGAAGGAUGGUUUUAUGUCUGAUUUAGGCCAUUUUUCGGGUUGAUUGCAACCCACCUUGAAUCCAUGAGGAUUCUUGGUGGGCAAGGAAUUAUGAAGUAAUGAGAGGACAGCUACCCACCUCAAGAAAUAGGGGAACUGAAUGUGUUAGGGGGUUCCAAAGCUGAAGGUGAUCUUUCCAAAGCUGAAUGGGAAAAAAAUGGUGUGGUGCAGAUGCUGAGAAGGAGAAGUUUGAGAGGUUUUUGGAAAAGAGCGGACGUUGGGAAGAGAAAAGGAGUUUUUUGGAGAGAUCCUAAAGGAGACUCUAUAGAAGAAAAACAAAAGUGUGGGGAAGGAGUUUAGAGGUCUUUGAGGGUUUGGCACCUAGAGAGAAAGAAAAAAACAGAGAUGGGAAGAGAAGUUUGAGGGGUUUUGAGGAAAACAGAGAGAACGGGAAAAACAAGAAAAGAAAAAAAACAGAGGUUUGAGAACAAGUGAGGUUUUGAGAGAAAGACUGAGAAAGCAAGAAGUGGAGAGCAAGAAAGUAAAGCUAGCAUACGAACCUAUUCUUGCUUGAGAUGAGAACCUACAGGUAUAUUUGUUGUGUUUCCCCUUACUUGCUUCCAUUUAUUGCUCUAUUUUUCAUCCGCUCUUGUGGUUCUUGGACAUUGCUGGAUAGUUUGGUUGUGAAAUAGUGUUACUAUUAUGCUUUCUUCCCAUUUGCUUUUGAUUUUCAUCAAAGGGCAAGCUUAGAUGUGGCUUCAGUUGUGCCACUGAUCAUGGAUCUCAUCGACUUCUACAUGAAAUGGUUUCCAUUUGUUAGGUCUUUUAUUCGUUUUCCAUGACCUUCUCUGUUUUUUUUUUUUUUUAAUUUGGGGCUACCCAUCAAUAAUCCGAACUUAAACCCUAGGUUUUGUGGCCACAUGUAGAGGUUCCAUGUAGCUAAAAUUUCAAUUUGCUUCAUGGUGAUUCCAAUAGCUGCAUUGGGGGGACUUUAGGUGGCUGAAUUUCAGUUGGAUUCAUAGGCUAUAGGAUGCUGAAAUUUUAGUUUGUUCCAUGGGAUUUAAGUAGCUAUAGGUGCAUGAAAUUUCAGUUCGAUUUCAGGGGAUUUAGGUGGCCGCAUGUAGAUGUCCAUGUGGCCAAAAUUUCAGCUGGGUUUCUUGAGUUCAGGGGGGCUGCAUUGUUGGUUGAUUAAUGAGCCCCGUGGCCUUAGUUUUAAUAAGGUUGGGUGGCUCGGGCUUGGCCUUCUACAAGGAACACAUUGUAUUGUUUCAGCCGGUUCUUCCUCAUCCGAGCUCAGAAUUGAGCGCCGUUUUUUUUGUUGGAUUUCUUAUUCUUUGAAUAAUCUGUUGUAAAAGUUUCAGAAUUUUUCUCAAUCAGUUGAACUAGGUGGGAACCGGUUCAACAGGUCCUACUAGGCAGUCCCAUUUAAUAAACAUGUUGCAUUGUUUUGGUCGGUUCUCCCUCAUACGGGCUCAGAAUUGAGCUCCAUUUUUUUUUUAGAUUCCUUAUUCUUCAAGAAAUCUGCUAUUAAAGUUUCAGAAUUUUUUCCAAUCGGUUGAACUGGUUGGGAACCGGUUCAAUAGGUUCUACUGGGCAACCCCAGUUUUAGCAUGCUUUGACUCCCAUUUUUGUCAUGGCUUGAGCCCUUAGGCUCCAAGGCACUUGUGGGUCACCUGUAGGGUCAGAGUUCGGUUUGGUUAGAUUUCAUGUGAGCCCACUUUAUGGAUGAGAAGAAUGUGGGUUAAGUGAGCAUGGUUUGGUUUGAUGGAAUUUAGAGGAAUGUGUGCAAAAGAAAGCAAACCAUUUAUUUCAUUUUGACUUGCUUCCCUCCCUUUUGGGUAUGAGAUUUGAUGCUUGAUUGAGAGUGCAUGUUUUACGCUUGUAUUACUUGCCUCACCUUUUCCUUGCAACGCAUGGCUGGGAACCACAGGUACGCACUUCGGCUUUGGAUAAUGGAAUUCACAUGAAUGCUUAGUGCAUGAUUGCUAUGUAUAUUUGUUGUGCAUUUGAGCUUAUUGACUGACCUCUUAUGCAGCGCUUGGCUAGGGACCUUAGGUAUGCACUCUGAUUUUGACUUGUUGAGUGUAUGUGCAUGCUAAAUACUAGGCGGGUCCAUGUGAUUCAUGUCAUUUGUUUAGCCUAAGGUUUGUUUGAUCUUUGACCCAUAUGCUCCUAUAUGCCCAAUUCGUUAGUAGAGACUGAGUUCCGGGCCUAGAGGGGUACUACCUCUCAUGAGGUACCUUCCCAAUAGGUAACUUGAUCCUUGGACCCAUAAUCUAGUUUUCGCAGACCGUUUUUUCCUUACUGGAGUCAUGCUGGGGUUUUUGUUCUUAUUUAAAUUUUCCCCAAUUAAAAAUAAAAAUAAAAAGUAAGUGGCUAAUCCAAACAAAACCGUUCCUCACUAGGACAAAUUUUUCAAAACUCGAAGACCAACUUUCCUUUUCACCUUUAAAAUAGCGAGUCGCGUUGGUCAGUGGAUCGGGUGAGGGUCCACAAAUUUGGCGACUCUACUGGGGAUCGAACCCAGAAUCUCUGGUUUUAUAAGAGGAUCAAACUUGAACUUGAGUUGGGUAUAUUGGAGCACAUGGUUCAUUGACCAAUUUACUCUUAGGCUUUAUAGGUGACUGGUGAUCACUUACUAGGUUGGUAUUUGACUUGCACUUGUGAUGAGUUGUUGCCUGUGUGUUCACCUGAUUGGUUGUGGCAUGUUUAUUCGUUGUUGUUGGUUCUUGGUUUUGCGGUUCAUGAUAGACUUAGAUGAUUAACUUGUGUGUAGAUUGUAUUCUAGGGUAUCUCUUUGCACAUGACUACAUACUGCAUGACUGCCCUUUUUCUUGCAUGACUGCUUGUCGUUUGUGUUUGUGGGGCGCGCUUGUAUCCUCUUAUUUUCGAAUCACUAGUCUUGGUUGACUAUUCCUUGUUGGUUUCUUGAAUUGUUUGGGAGUCAUUCCCAACUGUUUGCCUUCGACUAAGCUAGGGGUUUGGAAUGGGAUCUAGCAUAAGGGUUAUAUCGAUGUUUGGGAGCACUAUGGAGAUGACGGAUAUCCAAGCAAUGAAGACCUAUAUAGCCCUGAGCUAGAUUUCGGGGAUACCUACAUGGCCAGAGUGUCACUUUGAUUGUUGGUUAGAAUCAUAGGUUGUGUAUCCCUUUUGUGGGUACUGUCAUCUAGCUUUUAGGACUUGCCUUUUCCCGUUGUUGGCUUUUGAGCCACCUUACCCUUGAGGUAUCACCAUGUCAGAAUCCCGCUCCAACCCGUGGAGCCAUGUAUUAGAUUAGUUGUUAACAUCACAUGAUAAUUCAUUCCCUCGGAGGAUUUAGUCAUGGGAUUACAUUACGAAAUUGAUUUCUGGACUGGUAGUCACAAGGAUUGACAUACCCCUUUUCUUUUGUAGGAUUGUUGAUUGAGACCAACCUGGGUUCUCGAGCUUGGAUCAGGGUCGGAGGCAGACUUGUUAGAGGAUCAGACCAGUAUAGACAGUCGGGACAGACAUCAGUUCAAAGAGAUAUGGACCCGCAGUAUGCUACUGUUGACCAACUAGCCGAGAUCACAGAUACUAUGGCAUCACUCAAAGAUGUUAUUUUAAGACUGGGUCAGAGGAUUGACGGGCACCAAGCCCCACCAGUACCGAUUUAGGGGACCACCCCACAUGAUUCUUCCACACCCCUACCAUCGCCACCACCUGGACCUACCAUACAGUCGGACUACAUAGUCUCACCUCACCCCCCCCAGUUCAGUCAGCCCCACAGGCAGGGGCCUUUGUCUUACAUGGUUAGACUGAGACUACGCCACAUUUUUUUGUGGCCCCUACAUAGGUUGUAGAUGAUACUCAGACCCGCAUUGAGAGGAUUGAGCAGAGGGUGAGGUCACUGCAUGUCACCAAUGGAGUCAUGAGUUGGGAUGGGUAUGAUCAGCUGCCAGUUGCAGCUUUGCCGAUUGAGUUCGGCAUGUCAGACAUUGAGAGAUACACGGGGAUCGGGUGCCCCCGUAUUCAUUUGCAGUUGUACAGUGCUAUUAUGCACCGACAUAGGUUAGACGAGACAUAGAUGAUCAUGUUGUUCCCUCUAUCCCUAAGUGGUGCCGCCCAGCGGUGGUUUGCUUCAUUGGACCCCUCACGACGUCGGACAUGGACUGAUCUGGCACAGGAGUUUCUCAGACAGUAUUCCUUUAAUAUUGUAGUUGAUGUAUCCCGGAGAGAGUUAGAGGCCCUCAAACAGAGGCCAGAUGAGACAGUUACCUCCUUCAUCUCUCGUUGGAGGGAGAAGAUAGUACAAAUUAUUGACAGACUCUAAGAGCGUGAUCAGAUCAAUAUGAUUAUGGGCAGUCUUCAGCCUCGCUACGCUAGACAUCUCAUGGGCUUUCCACAGACAGACUUUGGCUCCUUACUACAGGCCCUCUAUGGCAUCGAGGAGGGUAUAUCUAGAGGAUUAUGGGCAGGUUCUUCCCCCUCAGACUCAAAGAAGAAGAAGCCGUGGUCAGGACCCAGGCCAUCAGAUGUUGGCACCAUUGGUAUGAUGGGGCAUAGGUCCUCGCGUCGGCCUCAGACUCAGAGACAGCUUUCAGAUACCUUUUAUAAGAUGAUACAGCAUGAUCAGUACAAGCCAGCUAUUCCCAUUAGGCCAGCAGGGCCUGCUUAUCUGCAUCCGUCGCCAUAACCAGUAUAUGCUACACAGGCAUUCUAGAGGCCACCCAUGCAGUUCCGUCAGUAUAGAGCACCACCUCCGCCAAGGCCAGCUAAACAGUUCACACAGCUUGGGAUGUCAUUGAGUAGAGCAUUUCAAAGAUUGGUUGAGGGGGGAUUGAUUGCCCCGUUACUGCCUAGACUACCACUACAGCCUUCCCCACCAGGAUUCAGGACAGACCUUCACUAUGCUUACCACCAAAGAGCGGGCCAUGAUACAAACAGUUGCUCAACACUGAGACAUGCUAUACAAGACUUGAUUGAUCAGGGUUUGGUUGAUUUGGGACGACCCGCAGUGACCACAGACCCAUUGCCUACUCAUGACACUAGAGUUGUACCUCCACCCCCAAGGGGAAUCCAUUUGAUUGAGCACACAAAGGGUGAUGUAUUUAUGAUGGGAUGGGAUGGAGAGGCUCCUCAGCCGAUUAGUUUGUACGAGGACUCAGAUUUUAGUGGAUAUACCCAUGGACAGUAGGUCCCCAAGCCAUUCAGGUUGGCCCUAGAUGAGAUUCCCUAACAACCCGCAGUUUCACUAGUGUAUUUACAACAUGUGCCGCCUUUGACACAUUUCAUUAUGUUCCCAAAGGGGUAUGAACCUACUCAUAGAGAUGUUCAGAUAGUCACAUGGAGCGGGAGAGUAGUACAUCCUCCACCUGUCGAUAGGACAUUUGUUGAUACAACUGCUAAAGAGGAGCUUUAGAGAGAGGACGACGAGAUUUUAUGGUAGUUGCGCACUACGCAGGCUCACAUAUCCAUUUGGGGCCUAUUGGCCUCAUCUAGCACACAUAGAGAUGCAUUGGUCAGAGCCCUUAGCCAUAUUAGAGUUGAUACUGCUACCACCCCGGAGGGGUUGAUUCACUUUCUGACAGUUGAUAAGGCUACGUGCAUUGUGUUUUUCAACGAUGACUUGUCACCAAAGGGGUCAGGUCACAUUCGCCCUUUGUAUAUCAGUGUUGCAUGUUCAGGCCAUUGAGUGCCGAUAGUCCUGUUGGACAACGACUCUGUCUUGAACAUUUGUCCUUUGGCUACAACCAUUGCUCUUGGCUUUUCUCCAUAUGAUUUUAGGCCAUCUACACAAACCAUCAGAGCUUAAGACGGGAAUCAAAUGACAAUUAUGGGUACUCUCACUUCACACGUUAUGAUUGGGCUAGUCAAAUACUCAGUGCUUUUCCAGGUUCUGAGGAUUCAGUCAUCCUUUAACUUGCUUCUUGGUCGUCCUUGGAUUCAUAAGGCUGGUACCAUACCAUCUUCCCUUUAUCAGAAUGUGAAGUUCAUACACGAGGGUCGCAUUAUCAUGAUACAGUCUGACCGGGAUGUUGUCACUUAUUCCGAGCCAGUAUUAUAGACUAGUCACAGUGAGGACGACUUGCAUUUGACCGGCUUUACUUUCGAUGAGGUUCAGGUUGUUAGUUUAGAGGAUGACAACAGAGAUAUGGUGCCUAUGUCAUUCGACCAGUACAAUAGCACCUUGGUGCUUAACAUGAUGAGAGGCAUGUCUUAUCCACCCGGCUUGGGAUUGGGUCGCCGCCAGCAUGGACCACACAAGUUUACUUUCACGGUUGAUCAUGACAUACCUUAUGGGUUAGGUUACACUCCUACAGAGGAGGAUGCACGUUACAUGGCACGACUGCGCAAGAACAAAGUAAGGACCCAUUUGUUUGGGGUUCCAUUUGAUUACCCCCUUUACUCGUACACCUUUCAGUUGACUGAUUACUUUGUCAAAGGUUCAGAUCAUGCACCCCACAUGAAGGGGAUCAUUUGUAUUUUAGAGGCUAUUGACGUUCAGGACCUCCAAUGGACCUUGGGGCAGAUGCAUUUGGGUACCAGGAUCCUUGAGACACCUGAUGUUAUAAUAGUUGCACCCCCGUCACCCGACCAAGCCAGCAUGUUCUCCGUAUGCUUCCCAGAGGUAGUUUCUGAUUAUGAUAUACUUAUGGAUACUGUGAUUGAUGCUGAUGGAGUGACUCUGCCUGAUGCUUGUACCAAUGAGAUGGACAUGAUAGGGGUAGGUCGUAUUAUCAAUGCAGUCUCACACGGUCCCCACUCUAAUUUCAAUUUGUUCGGAGUUUCUGUGAUUGACACUGAUGAUGUGACUUUUUAUGAUGCUUGCACAAAUGAGAUGGAUAUGAUUGACACUGGUUGUAUUUUGGAUGUAGCCCCGCACGGGCCUCGUUCUACUUUGGAUAUGUUUGGGGCUUUUAUUCUUGAGAUAGAUGAUGAUGACUUUGUUACUGUUGUUACUCUUGAUGUUAUUACUGUUGAGGGAGCAUCCAAUUCUGUGGACCCACCUCUUUCUUUUGACACUAUGUCCGGGUUUGUUACCCACUUUGAUGAUGUGGCUGGUGGAAAUAAUAAUGAUAUGAGUGUUUUUGAGUAUUCACCCGUGUCACUGCAUUUUCCUUUAAUUAUACCACUGACACCCAUGGCAUAUAUACAUGAUGUUGAUGAUGUGAAAGGCCCAGAUGGCCCAUUGAGUGAUCAGUCAGAUUUUGAUUCAGAUUUGGAGGAAAGGAAAGUAACACCUGUUUUUGGUAGCAUUGAGUUGGUAGAUUUCGGGACCCCUGAUCAGCCCAGGGAGCUGAAGAUUGGCACCUUCUUAUCUCCUGACGAGAGGAGCAGACUGAUUGACCUACUUAGGUCAUACCUGGAUGUAUUUGCAUGGUCAUAUGAGGACAUGCGAGGCCUUGAUCCCUCUAUAGUCCAACAUCGCUUGCCCAUCCUGCCACAUGAUAGACCAAUUAAGCAGAAAUUGAGGAGAUUACACCCUCGAUGGAGUUUGCAGGUUAAGGAAGAGAUUCAAAAACAACUCAGUGUUGGUUUCUUAUCAGUGGUCGAAUAUCAUGAGUGGUUGGCUAAUGUCAUCCUUAUUCCUAAAAAGGACAACAAAGUUAGAGUUUGUGUUGACUUUCGAGAUUUGAACAAGGCCAGUCCUAAGGAUGAUUUCCCCCUUCCACACAUCGAUAUGUUGGUUGAUAAUACUGCAGGGCAUUUGAUGUUAUCAUUUAUGGAUGGGUUUUCUAGGAAUAAUAAGAUUUUAAUGGCUCUAGAGGAUAUGGAGAAGACUUUUUUCAUCACUGAAUGUGGUACUUACUGCUAUCGGGUUAUGCCAUUUGGGUUGAAAAAUGCAGGGGCCACCUAUCAGAGAGCUGCUACUACUCUAUUCCAUGACAUGAUGCAUAAAGAUGUUGAAGUAUAUGUGGAUGACAUGAUAGUGAAGUCUCGAGACAAGGCAGAUCACUUAGCAGCAUUACAGAGAUUCUUUGAGAGGAUUAGACAAUUCAGAUUAAGAUUGAAUCCCAAGAAGUGCACCUUUGGGGUAACUUCUGGGAAAUUGCUGGGGCAUAUCGUUAGUGAGCGUGGUAUAAAGGUUGAUCCGGAGAAGAUCAGAGCCAUACUUAACAUGCCUGCUCCGAGGAUUGAGAGAGAGAUCAGAGGCUUUCUUAGCAGAUUAUAGUAUAUCAGUCGUUUCAUUGCCAGAUUGACAAACAUAUGUGAGUCUAUCUUCCGUUUUCUGAGGAAGAGCCAGCCUACAGUUUAGGAUGAUGAUUGCCAGUCCACUUUCAAGAAGAUUAAGGAGUGUCUCAUUUCUUCUCCAAUUUUAGUACCGCCUACGCCAAGGCACCAUUUGCUUCUGUAUUUUUCAGUAUCGGACAUUUCCAUGGGAUGCAUGUUAGCUCAGCUUGAUGAUUCAGGAAAAGAGCGAGCCAUUUAUUAUCUAAGUAAGAGGAUGCUCGAGUAUGAGUGCAGAUACAUUAUGAUUGAGCGUCUCUGUUUGGCACUGGUUUGGGCCACUAGAAGGCUGAGACACUAUGUGACCAAGUAUUCCAUAUUAUUAGUCUCACGAUUAGAUCCUUUGAGAUAUCUGUUCGACAGGCCUGUUUUGACUGGUAGGCUCAUGAGAUGGUUAUUGCUACUAACAGAGUUUGAUAUUCAGUAUGUCACACAAAAAUCAGUAAAAAAGAGCAUUGUUGCAUAUCAUUUUCCUUUUUUGCCAGUAUCUGAUGACAGACCGAUUGACGAUGAUUUCCCUGAUGAGCAGUUUGUCUCAGUGACUAGUAUUGCAGGAUGGCGGUUGUACUUUGAUGGUGCCGCCAAUCAGUCGGGGUUUGGUAUUGGCAUCCUAUUGAUAUCACCUUAGGGUGAUCAUAUUCCCAGAUUAGUCCGGUUGACAUUCUCUGAUCAUCACCGGCUGACGAAUAAUGUUGUUGUCUACAAGACAUGCAUUACAGGUCUAGAGACUGCACUCGAUCUUGGAGUUAGACAAUUGGAAAUCCACGGGGAUUCCAACUUGGUUAUUUAGCAGACUCAGGGUAUCUGGAGGACUCGGGAUGAGAAGUUGAAACCUUAUCAUGCUUAUUUUGGAUUUGUUGGUUGAUAGGUUUGAGGAGUUGAGAUAUAUACAUUUGCUUAGGGCAGAAAAUCAGUUUGUUGAUGCGCUAGCCACUUUGGCUUCUAUGAUUGAGAUCCCUGCGGGAGUGAUUGUGUGACCAUUGCUGAUUGAGACCAGGUUCGUACCAGCUUAUUGUUGUCUGAUUGGAGAUAUCGAGGAUCAGGAUGGACUACCAUGAUACCAUGAUAUUUAUCAAUUUCUGUCAUAUGACGCUUACCCUGAGCCAACCACUGUCAAGGAUAGGAGAGCUUUGAGGUAGUUAGCCACUAGAUUUGUGAUUUGUGGAAAGUCAUUGUACAGACAAUCGCCCGAUGGCCUAUUAUUGUUAUGUCUAGACCGUGCCUCUACAAAUCGAGUGAUGAGAGAGGUUCAUGCAGGAGUUUGUGGCCCACACAUGGGAGGACACAUGUUGGCCCGAAAGAUUAUGAGGACAUGUUAUUUCUAGUUGACUAUCGAGGCAGAUUGUUGUCAGUUCAUUCAGAGGUGUCUAGAGUGCCAGAUGCACAAUGAUCUCAUUCACAUGCCACCUUCGGAGUUGCAUGCACUCACAUUCCCUUGGCCAUUUUCAGUGUGGGGUAUUGAUAUUAUUGGAAAGAUCUCGCCCAAGCCUUCCAGCGGGCACGAGUACAUCUUAGUAGCCAUUGAUUACUUCACUAAGUGGGUGGAAGCCGCUUCUUACGCCAAAUUGACAGCGGCCAAGGUAGCUAAGUUCAUCAUAUCACAUAUUAUCUGUCGAUACGAGGUCCCUCAUGAGCUAAUCUCAAACAGAGGGGUGGAUUUCAGAGGCGAGGUGGAUACAUUGGUUUAGGAGUAUGGAAUUCAGUAUCAUAGAUUGUUUGCGUAUAGGCCGUAGACUAAUGGGGCAGUUGAGGCAGCGAAUAAGAGUAUUAAGCAGAUUUUGAGAAAAAUGGUUGAGACUUCUCGGGAUUGGUUGGAGAAGCUCCUUUUCGCGCUAUGGGCCUAUCGCACUUUUUUUUGUUCCUCUACCGGAGCUAUGCCUUACUCCUUGGUGUAUGGUAUGGAAGUAGUGCUACCUAUUGAGAUUGAGAUGGGAUCUUUAAGAGUAGCAUUAGAGCAGCAGAUAUCCAAGACCGAGUGGGCUCAGUUUCAUUAUGAUCAGCUUAGCCUUCUAGAUGAGAGGAGAUUGAAGGCAGCAAAUCAUGUUCAGGCUUAUUAGAAGAAAAUGACCCGUGCAUUCAAGAAGAGGGUUAAGCCCAAGAAAUUCCAAAAAGGUGACCUAGUUUUGAAGGUCCUCAUGGGAUUGAUCAGCGACCCUAGAGAGUUCUGACCGAGCUGGAGCGAGUUGUAUGUUAUCCGAGAUUUGACCUGAGAGGGAGUUGCCUGGUUGACAAUUCUGGACGAAAAUCAGUUUUCGUAGCCAGUCAAUGUGGAUCAGUUGAAGAAGUUUUAUGCGUGAGAUCAUGGUCAAAGGAUGGGUGGCCAUUGUUUUGAGUAGCCAUAUUCCCUAUUGCACACCCACACAUUGAUAUAUCCGAUUGCUAGCCCAUUGAGCCUCACACGAUUCAUUAUGACCUAUUCGUUCACUUAGCCUUGCAUACCUUUUCUCACCUGGGUUGGGGGUCUCCUCUUGUGCGCUUUGCAUUUAUUGUUUGGACCGGUGAGUAUUGUGAGUCCAUUGUGUCAUUGUUCUUUUGUUUCAUUUUUGGGUCAUUCAUGAUUUCUUCUUUCCUACAUUGUGCAUCUUCACUUUUUCUGUCUUUGAGUUUUGUUUCUAUCUUUUUUAUUCUUUUCGCUUCCAUCUUCUCUUGUGUGAUGAUGACGCGCUCUCGUCCCGAAGCUGCAGGUUAGGCUUGUCACACCCUACGUUCCACCCUUAGGUUUUGAUCCAGGAGUUUUAGUUUGAGUGGACCAUUUGGGUUUGGGAUUUGAGGUACAUUUGUUAGAUCAUGCUGGUAUGGCCAUUGGCUUACUUUGUCAGUUGUUCCGCAAAAAAAAAAAAAAAAAAAAAAAAGACUUGUGCUCAUUCAAUGUUCAUGUCAUUAAUACUUGGGUUCUGCAUGGUUUGCCAACAGUAUCACGACUUGAUCAUCAGAGGUCAUUUUGGGUUUGAGAGACUUAUUCUUCUUCUGAGAGUCGUUAAGAGCAUUGCACGAUCCUUUUCUCCAUGGAUCUAGGAGACAUAUUGGGAGUGAGGUUUGGGUUUCCUUUACACUAGGUUCCUUGGAUCAUUAUCUAUAUCACCACUCUCGUCAUACAGUGACUUGCUUCGAUUUGGCGUUCAUGUGAUGAGUUGUUCGUCAUUAUCACACAUUGUUACACUUUUAUCCCAACUUGUUUCAUCAUUUUCUUCUACACCCAUUCAUCAUUCGUCUUAUCCCAUUUUAUCUUCUUUUACCCUCGUCGAUCGUCAUCUCGCUUCAUGAACGAUGUGUUCUUUGGUGCACAUCACCUAUCGUUGGACAUUGUUCAUUCGGAUGUAGGAUUGAGUCACCUUACUCACAUGGUCCUCCAAUAUUUGACAUUGCGCACACAGAGGCUUGGCAUUAUCUAUUGGGUAUUUGGGCCUUUGUUUCCCGUCGUUUCAUUCACCUUUUACCUCCAGCCUUCAUUACUGUUCGAGUUGUAAGACCACCCUGAGGCCAUGAGAUCUCGUGUUUGCUUCGACGCAUUUCAAUCGGAUAGGCUCCAUCUACUGAUUGAAGUACGAGAUGCUGACAGAGCUUUAUUUCUUGGGGGAUAUCGAGGAUCACAUAUUGCUUUACAGUUUUGUCUCUUCACCUUUGGUCCAUGAUCAGAGACACAUGAUGCAGAGAGUCGAGACUGUCCAGGAUCCCCUUCGCUUGUUGGUUUAUUAUAUUCAUACUAGGGCAUACCCCUAUCCUUGCAUGAUGGCAUAAGUUCUUACACUGGGACACAGGCAGCCCAUUUCACCAAGUGACGCUUGGCAUUAGUGUUUGAGUAGGCCCCCAUAUUUAGCUUGGUUUCUUCAUACAACAGCUUGCUUUUAAGAGAUGGCUCGGGAUCAGAUUCAUGCGUAUUCGUCGACCCAGUGGGUGUGCACACUGGGGCAUACCCCAUACUUUGUCAUGUUCGCUUAUCCAAACGAUUGGGUCUUUAGUGAUAUAUUUCUCUGGUACUCGCCUGGAUCCUUCUUCAGUACUUACUCGGAUUUUACCCAUUUCCUGGUACUGUCCCAGACCCUUUUCCGGUACUCACCCGAAUUCUACCAUUUUCUCGGUACUCACUCAGAUUCUACCAUUUUUUGGUACUCACCCGGAUUCUACCCAUUUUCGGUACUUGCCCGAAUAUGAUCUCUUCUCCGACAUCGUGCCUGGAUUUCCUUGGGUUCUCUAGUACUCGCCUAGACUUGAUCCCUUUUCCUUCAGUCUACUCCAGCCUCAUGUCCAGAUCUCCUGAUCUUUUCCAACAUCACAUUCGGUUUUCUUUAGUCUUUUUUGGCAUCAUGUCCAGAUUCUUUUAGCUUUCUCCGACAUUGUGCUUGGAUCCCUUAGUCCAUUCGGUCAGCAUGACUCAUUUCCCUUAGCCUUCUUUAUUGUUGUGUGAGGACAAAAUUGUUAGUUAUUUGAAUUCUUCACUAGAGUUCAUUUCACUCAUUCAUUGCUUGCACUUCACACUUGCGUUUCACUCAUUCAUUCACUCUACUGAAGAGGGGCAUAUUUGUAGAACCACAAUUUCGUCCUUCGACACUUGCAUUUAUCUUAGGGGUGUCAUCUGCACCCAAUUUUUUUCGUAUGGCACUGCCAUGGCCCUCUUUUGAGUUUGAUCGAUUUUUGAGUCUUGUGUAAGUUCAUCUGCGGUCCAAUGUAGUGAGAGUGUGUAGUUCAUUUUAGAGUGUCGUCAUGGCCAAUUCCCUAGUUGUUCACAUCAUGCUAAAGAAAGGAAGUGAGGCCUCCCUAAAACUUUUGUUCAGUUGGAGUUCAUGGGAGCAAGUUUGAAUACAGAGCACUUGGGCUUGUUUUGAUCAUAUCUCCUUCAUCCGAACUCGGAAUUGUGCAUUUUUUUUGUGUUGGAUUCCUUAUUCUUCAAGGAAUAUUCUAUCAAAAUUUUAAAAUUUUCCUCAACCAGUCGACCGGAUGGUCAACCAUUUCAAUCGGUUCGUCAAGUUUUUUUUUAGGCGGUCUACCGGUUAUUCGGGGCUGCUUGCGAACGGCUCUGUUUUUGGCAUUUUUGGUGUCCUUGUUCAGGCUAGUUUGUGCCCUGGUGCUCCAGAUGGGUUAGGAGGAUGGUUUUAUCUCCGAUUUGGGCCAUUUUUCGGGUUGGUUGCAACCCACCUUGAAUCCAUGAGGAUUCUUGGUGGGCAAGGAAUUAUGAAGUAAUGAGAGGGCAGCUGCCCACCUUGGGAAAUGGGGGAACUGAAUGUGUUGGGAAGUUCCAAAGCUGAAGGUGAUCUUUCCAGAGCUGAAUGGGAAGAAAAGGGUGUGGUGUGGAUGCUGAGAAGAAGAAGUUUGAGAGGUUUUUGGAAAAGAGGGGAAAUUGGGAAGAGAAAAGGGGUUUUUUUGGAGAGAUCCUAAAGGAGACUCUGUAGAAGAAAAACAAAAGUGUGGGGAAUGAUUCUAUAGGUCUUUGAGGGUUUGGCACCUAGAGAGAAAGAAAAAAACAGAGAUGGGAAGAGAAGUUUGAGGGGUUUUGAGGAAAAUAGAGAGAACGGGAAAAAUAAGGAAAGAAAAAAAACAGAGGUCUGAGAACAGAGGAGGUUUUGAGAGAAGGGCUGAGAAAGCAAGAAGUGGAGAGCGAGAAAGUAGAGCUAGCAUAUGAACGUGUUCUUGCUUGAGAGGAGAACCUGCAGGUAUAUUUGUUGUGUUUCCCUUACUUGUUUCCAUUUAUUGCUUUAUUUUUCAUCCGCUCUUGUGGUUCUUGGACAUUGCUGGAUAGUUUGGUUGUGAAAUCAUGUUACUAUUAUGCUUUCUUCCCAUUUGUUUUUUAUUUUCAUCAAAGGGUAAGCUUGGAUGUGGCUUCAGUUGUGCCACUGAUCAUGGAUCUCAUCGACUUCUACAUGAAAUGGGUUUCCAUUUGAUAGGUCUUUUAUUCAUUUUCCAUGACCUUCUCUGUUCUUUUUUUUUUUUUUAAUUUGGGACUACCCAUCAAUAAUCUGAACUUAAACCCCAGGUCUUGUGACUACAUGUAGAGGUUCCAUGUAGUUGAAAUUUUGGUUUGCUUCAUGGUGAUUCCAGUAGCUACAUUGGGCGGACUUUAGGUGGCUGAAUUUCAGCUGGAUUCAUAGGCUAUAGGAGGCUGAAAUUUCAGUUUGUUCCAUGGGAUUUAAGUAGUUAUAGGUGGGAGGCUUCAGGUGCAUGAAAUUUCAGUUCGGUUUCAUGGGAUUUAAGUGGCUGCAUGUGGAUGUCUAUGUGGCUGAACUUUUAGAUGGGUUUCUUGAGUUCAGGAGGGCUGCAUUGUUGGUUGAUUAAUGAGCCCCGUGGCCUUAGUUUUAAUAAGGUUGGGUGGCUCAGGCUUGGCCUUCUACAAGGAACACAUUGCAUUGUUUCUGCCGGUUCUCCCUCAUCCAGGCUCAAAAUUGAGCGUCGUUUUUUUUUGUUGGAUUCCUUAUUAUUUGAGGAAUCUUCUAUUAAAGUUUAAGAAUUUUUAUUAAUCAUUUGAACCAGGUGGGAACCGAUUCAACAAGUCCUGCUAGGCAGCCCCAUUUAAUAAACACGUUGCAUUGUUUUAGUCGGUUCUCCCUCAUCUGGGCUUGAAAUUGAGUGACAUUUCUUUUGUUGGAUUCCUUAUUCUUCAAGGAAUCUGCUCGUAAAGUUUCAAAAAAUUUUCCUAUCGGUUGGACCAGUUGGGAACUAGUUCAACAGGUUCUGCUGGGCAGCCCUAGUUUUAGCAUGCUUUGACUCCCAUUUUUAUCGUGGCUUGUGCCCUUAGGCUCCAAGACACUUGUGGGCCACCUUUAGGGUCAGAGUUCGCUUUGGUUAGAUUUCAUGUGAGCCCACUUCAUGGAUGAGAAGAAUGUGGGUCAAGCGAGCAUGGUUUGGUUUGAUGGAAUUUAGAGGAAUGUGUGCAAAAGAAAGCAAACAAUUUAUUUCAUUUCGACCUGUUUCCCUCCCUUUUGGGUAUGAGAUUUGAUGCUUGAUUGAGACAUGAAUGCUUGGUGCAUGAUUGCUAUGUAUAUUUGUUGUGCAUUUGAGCUUAUUGACUGACCUCUUAUGCAGCGCUUGGCUAGGGACCUUAAGGAUGCACUCUGAUUUUGACUUGUUGAGUGUAUGUGUAUGCUAAAUAUUAGGCGUGUCCAUGUGAUUCAUGUCAUUUUUUUAGCCUAAGGUUUGUUUGAUCUUUGACUCAUAUGCUCCCAUAUGCCCAGUUCGUUAGUAGAGACUGAGAUUCGGGCCUAAAGGAGUGCUAUCUCGCAUGAGGUACCUUCCCGAUAGGUAACCUGAUCCUCGGACCCAGAAUCUAGUUUUCGCAGACCGCUUUUUCCUUACUGGAGUCAUGCUGGGGUUUUUAUUCUUACUUAAUUUUCCCAUGUAAAAAUAAAAAUAAAAAGUAAGUGGCGACCCCAAACAAAGUCGUUCCUCACUGGAACGAAUUUUUCAAAACUCGAAAACCAGCUUUUCCUUUCACCUUUAAAAUAGCGAGUCGCGGCGGUCGGUGGAUCGGGUGAGGGUCCACAAUGACUCUAAACCCUAAGGGAGGAAGAAGAAAAGAAAUGACUUAAAAUUAUUUGAAAACCGGAGUGAAAUUAAAAUUAUUUGAAAAUCUGGAGUUUUGAAAAUUAUUUGAAAAUUUGGGUUUUUAAAAUUAGAGUUUUGAAAAUUAAAUUUCUAUACCAAAAGAUAGAAAACAAAGAGGAUGGCGCGUCGCCUUUAGGUGGUGCACUGAAGAAUGCCCAUGCAUGGCCAUACAAGAGUGGGGCCCGGGGCAAGGUGGCUACUCUGUAGAUGCUGGUGAUUUCAACUUGAAGCAAGUAGCUUGUUUGCUGACAUUUUGUUGGCUUGAGUAUACCUUCAUGGGUUGGUCGAAAUAUAAACUUCACUCUUAAAUAUGUGUUGUUAUUGAACACUGCCAUUGGGACAUCAUCCACCAAGAAUACUAUCAGAUAUACAUUCUAAAGAGCUGAGUAUGAGUGGAAAGCCUUGGUUGGGCCAAAUCAAAGACAGAUUCUCUGUUCUCUCGCUCAUUUUCUUCCCGUGAAGAUAUUUGUUUGUAAAAUAGAGGGUUGACCGGACUUGUUCCCGGAGAACUCAAAGUCUAUUUCAUCAUGCUCUAAGUAUUGAGAAGAUAGAUAGAAAACAGUAAAAAUCUCAAUGCAUUUUUCAAGGACGAGCUGAAUCUCAGAGCCUCCAUUAUAGGACUUGAUGUGAUAAAAAACCCAUGUAGGCACAUAGUUUCUACUAAAUGGCACAUCAAUACACUUCCUUGGAGCAGCACCCCUCACUCUAGAAAGCAUAAAUAGUAAACCCAGAUAGAGAACCCACAGGUUUUUGGGUUCUGAGAAGGAGAGACUAAGGUGUGGUGAGCAUGGUAAUGAGGUUCCGGCAUGGAGUUUUCCGACUUGAGGUUUGGAUUUGCUGAAAGAAGGAUUUUGAUGGAGGCUUUGCCAAGACUUUGGGUGGCCAUUCAUGCAUGGGUCACAUGCACGUAGGGAUGGAUGGAAAUGAGCUUUCUCAGUAUCUGAAUUGAUUCCUCGUACUCAUUUCUGACUUAGGCACCAUUCCACAAAACCAAGGAACUAUAUUCGGAAAGAGGUGCUUGAAAGUGGCACACUAAAAUGUGCCCAUAAAAACCAUGCAGAAGCCGAAAACAGAUGAAUGGACUACCCGAGACUGUACAUCGAAGGUGGCCUUUCCUUGUUGGUAGCCAACAUUCAUAAACUUGUGAGGACCUCUUCCAUGGAAAACCCACUUGCUAACCUCAAUAAAAAAAAAAUUGCCCAUUGCUGAAUCUGUUUCCUGUAUCAUUCUACUCUAGACUUACUGACGCGAUCACCUGGUAUUCAUGAUGAUUUCUGCUAACCUAUGUAAUAUGUAUUCCAUUAGAGCCUCAUCUUACAGUCUAUUAAUCUCACGUUAUGGCUUUAAACACCCAGAGUUUGACUGAGUGAACCAUGUCCAACUAAUUGAUUCAACAGCCUCAUGGCCAUAGAAGCAUGUAGUGAUGGAGAAGAGGGCAUCCAAUACCCAUGGGUAUUUCCACUUAUUGCUUUAGUAGGUUAUGAGCGCAGAUAUAGUGCUUCAGAGUAAAAAGGUCCAACAGAGUGAUACAAUUGCUAAUUUUCAUGUAAAUCACAAGAUGAUGGAGACUUCCAGGGCCUAUUGUUCCUUUUAUGCUUUUGAAGAUGGGCUAUUGAAAGUCUUGAAUACACCUUCUACAGUUGUCGUUGGUGUUGUUACUGAACAACGAAUGGCAUGAGAUUCAUCAAGUCAAGCAGGAGCUUCAUGUGAUUGGCAAUUUUCAGGAAAUCACCACUAAGAGACAUAGAGUGAUGAAGCUCAAUGGAUUGCCUUACUAGUCAUCCGACCAACCAAUUGACAUCAUUGUCCAAUCCUAUAGAUCUACAAUCGGGAAAUUGGGAGUGAGAUCUUCAGAUUUAAUAACUUGAUUGUAUCAUGCUCAUCAGUUCUCUUCAUCCCGGGAAUCACCCUGGGCAUUUUUUUGUAGGUGGAUGAAUUGGGUUGUAGUUGCUUGCAAUCCCAACUAGUGUUUUUAAUCUAGUUAUUGAUGAGAUAGUUGAUUGCCCAAAUGAGAACACGAUUUGUACAGCAGGCAUGGAGGAUACUCCAUUAAGUUCACUUUCCCCAUAGCCUCACUCCUCCAAUCCCAGUAGCUUGGCCAUUGAUGAUAUCAUCCCACCAUCAACAAGAAACAGAGCACGAAACAGAGAGGAAGAAAAAAAAAUGUAAAAACAGAGUAUGAACUUAGCUCUAUGUCAUGGACCGUCAAAGUGCUAGGAGCACGUGGAAUCCAAAGGAAACAAGAACAUCAUUUUGACGUAUAAAAUUCAAGGAGUAGUGCAUUAGAUAUUUACAAGAUAAAACAUAAAAAAAUCCUCAAAAUAAACCAAAACAGAGCAUGCAUGUAUAGAGUCCUACCCGACAAAGCAAAUGAGUGGCCCUUAAUGUCCACACCAAUCAACAAAGCAAUGCUUAGAAAAGUAGCUGAAAAUGGGAAUGAAACAGUGCGAAAAUCAGAGACAAGAAGCUCAUAGUGGCUUUACCUGGAAUGCUCACUCAUAACCUCCUGAGUUGUCUCAGUUCCAGCUUUCUUUUUCCAUUCCUUAAUCCGCUAGAUCUCCUUCUCCUUCUUCUGGUCUUCACUCCAUUCUUUUUAUUCAGCCCUCCUAACACCCAGCUUACCCCUCUAUUCUUGCUUCUUGUCCAGGCCUCCACUAGCUCUACUGUUUCCCAUUCAAAGACAUCUCCUUCCUAACCACCACCAUGGCGAGGUAGCAGUGUUCUUGGUCACGCGUCCCAUGCAGCUUGCUUACCCGUGGAAGUCGUCUCCCAUUCCUCUCUGUAGUGAUGGUGUUUCACCAUCUUGCCCUCUCUCCCCAAAAGACCAAGCUCUCCUGGGGUGGUAAGAAGGUAGUGAGAGGAAAAGAACACCCCCCCCCCCCCUCCAUAACAGUGAUAAAAAAAAAAUGUCUAUUGGUCCAAAAGAGGGUCUACAAAAAGGCUCACCUGAAAUAUUUACCAUUAGUUUUAUAUGUUUCCAAAUAUUUUAAAAAAAUAAUUUUUAUAUGUAGUAUUUUAUUUUAAAUUAUUAUUUAUAUUUAUCUCAUUAUGUUUUUUAAAACAACCCUCAUAAAACAAAUGAAAACAACUAAAUAUGUUUUAAAAAAAUGAUUUCUUUACUAUUUAAUACAAGAAGUUAUUUUUUUUUUUUAUUCUGAAACAUGUUUUUUUUUAUUUAUUAUUUAUUAAAAAAUAGUUAUAAAACUAGUACCAAAGAAAAAAAAACCCGAUGUUUUCAAACAUGUUUUUUUAUUUUUCGUUAUUAAAAACUAUUGAACAACCCUAGUAUCAAAGAAAGAAAAAACAAUGUUUUUAAGUGAAGAUUUAGAAUGAUAAUUUACUUUUUGUAUAAAAUUUAAAAAAAAUUAAAUUUAAUUAUUCAAAAUUCAUUUUAAAAGUUCAAUUAAUGUUUAUGUUAAUUAAUUGAGACUGGACUAAAUAAUUAUAAAAAGAAAAAUAAACCAUUUUUAUGAUUUGAUCAUUUUUAUUUUAUUUUAGAUCUCUAAUUAGAUCAUUUGCUUAAUACUUUACCUCUUUUUGUAAAACAUAAUUUUUCUUAUAAAUAGAUAAAUAAUUAUUGUCCCGAGUAUUUUUAACUUUUUGAUGGAAAAUUUUCUUUCAACUUCCUUAUUUAAAAAAUUAAAUUUUGAAAACACCUUUCAAAAAAUCGUUUUCACUUAGAGAUAUUUAAAAAAAAAAAUCAAUUCAAUUUUCUAGAAAAUGGAAACAACAAAGGAAAGUUCAUUUAUAUUUUAAACUUGUUUUCUAUUAUUAUUAUUAUUUAAAUAGAAGAUAACUAGUGUUUAGAUUAAUAAUAUUUUUAGAUGUCAAAUUGAAUUCAUCUUCACUUAUGAUUUUUAAUUCAAUUUUUUAAAAUAAGACAUAAAUAUAAAAAAAAUAUCCAUCAUAAAAGACAAUAAAAAUAUAUUUUUUUAUAAAAUAAAAAUAAAAUUUAAGAGAUAAUAUGGAAAAGAAAAUAACAAGAGAGAGUAAGUUGUUUUCGUGACCUUUCAUUAAACCAAAAAUCCUUAUUUACAAGCUUGGGUGAUACGAAAUCCUUAUUUAUAGGUUAGGAUAAUAUAAACAGACUAAUGGUAUUGCACAAACUACUAUAAUUGUUGAUAAUACUCUCUCUUUUGUGACUACCACUCUUAGAAUAUGCUUCAUUAAAAAACUUAGUUUUUACAACUCUUAGAACAUGUCUUAUUAAAAACCAUAUUAGAAAAAAAAAACUUUAUGAAAAAAAUCCAUUGUGGAGGAAAAAUAAUACAAUAUUCUUUAAUACUUUUGUACUAUAAUUGACUUGUUUAAAACCUUACCAAUAAAACUUAGUAGAAUAAAACUUAGAUGAAAGGAAAAGGACUAUAAUAUAACAACAUCCUCAUUAAUCUGUUUCCCUAUGAAGAUUCUCGAGUUGUCACAUUCCAAUGUUAUAUAUAAGCUUUUUAAGUAUUGUAGUUGAAAAUGGUUUGGUGAAUAGAUUUACUAAAUUAUUAUUUGAUCUUACUCAUUGAACAUUAAUUUUACCCCUCUUUUAAAGUUCAUGAGUGAAAAAGAACUUGAGGGAGUUAUAUUUAGUUCUAUUACCUUUAAUAUAUCUUCCUUUAAUCUGUACAAUGCAUACAACAUUAUCUUCAUGCAACAUUAUUCUAUUGUCUUUUAUGGAAGAUAGCAUGCAUGUUUAUAGAAGUAGCUAUCAUUAUUUGAUUUACUAGCCAUCAUGAUAUUAUAGUAUUCCCAUAGAUAAACACAUAUGUUAUUUGAGAUCUAGCUCUGUGACAAUCCGGAAAAUAAUCGGUGCUUACAUAUCCAUGUAAUUAUAAUUGUGUGCAUUUUGAUAAAAUAAACCCAUAUAAAUUGUGCCACGAAAAUAGUCUCGAAGAUAAUCCUUUUUCAUGGUACUUCUUUGGUUGAUGAAGAUGGUUUGGUUGAUCCAUAUGGGUUUGGAUUAUUCCAUUAUAGUGUUUGGAUCAUUUUUUUUCACGGUGUUUUUUUAGUUGAUGGGAUGGUUUGGGUUUUUUUCUUUUAAGGUUAUUUUUAUUCUUUGGUUGAUGGGGAUGACAACCAUUUUGUGGUAUUUAGGAAAAUGUGUUUUUUUUUUUUUUUCAUGGUUUGGCAUUUUAUCAUCUUCAUGAUGGUUUCCAUUUAGUUGGGUAUAGGAUGGUGUUUCAUCUUUUGAGGUUUUGGGUAUCAUCUUUAUCUUUAGGAUACGGUUUUCAUGUGGUUUAGGAUGGUGUUCCUUGGGAUGAUGGGGAUAGGCAUCUAGACUAUUAAUUUUUUCCGUAUGGGAUUAAACAGUUUAGAGCAUGUUUGGUUGUGGGAUUAAAAAAUAGUUUUUAUUUUUAAAAGGUAGUUUUUUAUUUUUUUAAAAAUAGAAAAUUAUUUUUAAAAAUUCAAAAGACUGUUUGGUCAUUGUUCUUUAUUUAUAGUUUUUAAAAAUAAAGUAAAAUAGAGAAUAAUAUUUAGAUAACAAGUAGAAGUUGUUUUCACUAAUUUAUAAAAACAAAAGGAAAACAUAAAAAAAAAUAUAAAAAAAAUUAAAAACCUAUAACAUGUAAAUAAAAUUGAACAUGAUAUCAUUCUUCUUCUCUCCCUAUAAUCCAAUACUGAUACUGAAAAAUCUUUAAAUAUGAUAUCCCUUAAAUUACACAUGUUUUUUUAUUUUAUUUUAUUUUAUGAAUUUCCUUUAACUUAAUAAAAAAAUUGCAUUAAUCAACUAAAUUCUAAAUCGAACUAUAUUUAUUACAUAAAAUGUAUUUAUUUUUAAAAAUAAUUUAAAACUAGAAAAUCGAUUUUAAUUAGUGCUAAAAGUCAUCUAACUCAAUAACAUUAAAAAGUCGUAGACCAAAAUUCAUUUUGAAUAUCUUGUCUAGUUUAUCCUCUACGUAUAAUCAUAUUUUUGCAAAAAAAAAAAAAUCAUUAGGAAAAUAAACUCCAAAUUGAGCAAGAUUUAAUAUGUUGAAUUCAAUAACGAGUCUAAUAUUUUUUAAAAAAUAACUUAAAACUCAAAUAAUGAUCUAAUUAAUACCAAAAAUUUAUGGACAAAAAUUGGUGUAGAAUGACUAUUAUUUCUUUCAUACAUAGAACCAUAUUUUUCUGAUUUUCUUCACUAAACAAAUAGACUCAAAAUUAAAUAAGACUUAAUGUGUUGAAUUAAUGAGUGUAAUAAUUUUAAAAAUAACUUGAAACUCAAAUAGUGAUCCAAUUAAUACAAAAAAAAAUUGGACAAAAAUUUGCCUAAAACAACUCUAUUAUUUUCCUUCUACAAAGGUUCAUAUUUUUUUCAUUUUUUUUUCACUAGGAAAAUAAAAUCCAAAUUAAAAAAGAUUUAAUAUGUUGGAUUCAUAAUGAGUUUAUUAAUUUUUAAAAUAAUUUGAAACUCAAAUUAUGAACUCAUUAAUAACAUAAAUUUAAAUAUAAGAAUUGGUCUAUAUUGACUCUGUUAUUUUUUUUUUACACAUAAUUAUAUUUUUUCUAAAUUUUCUUACUAGAGAAAUGAAUUUCAAAUCAAGCAACACUAUGUAUUAAAUUUAUUAAUGGGUUUUAAAAUUUUUAAAAUAAGUUGAAACUCAAAAAAUAGAUAUAAUCAUAACAAAAUAAAAAAAACUAGACAAAAACUAAUAUACUAUGAGUUAUGAUUUUAUUGUUUCUUUGAUACAUAACUAUAUAUUUUUUUUUAAAAAAAAUUACUAGGUAAAUUGAUUCUAAAUUAAGUGAGACAUAAUUAAUAAUUUAAAUUCUUUAAUGAAUCUUCUAAUUUUUAAUAAUAAUUUUGAUUUCCAAAAAUCGAUGCAAUUAAUUGCAUAUUAAAUUAAAGCAUUCCAGAAUAUUAUGUACAUAAUUAGGUAUUAAAUAUGUGUGUAAUGAAUAUUUUGGCUCAUUUACAUGUUAAAAAAGUUAAACUUUAUUCAUUAUUCAUUUUAAAUAAAAUAUUAUUAAAAAUUAUUAUGACUAUCCCUAUUCAACAAAAAAGAAAUCAAUUAUGGUUUUACAAAGAUGUUAAUAUCUAUAUUUUUUUUAACAUAUACUAAAAUAUUAUAUAUAUUUAUAUAUAUAAUUUAUGAUUUUAUUAUAAUAUUACCAUUCAUGUUUUACAAAAAAAAAAUAAAAAAUUAUCUGUUAAUUUAUUUGUAACUACAAAACUAAUUUCAUUAUAAUACUUGAAUUAAAUUUAAUUAAUAUUAUAUAAAUUAAAUUUACAAUAUUUCAAAAAAUCAAAAUAGAAAAUUAUUUCUUUUAAAAACAGACCUAUCUAAACAAGUUUUUUUUUUUUAAACAAUUUACCAAACAUCCUUAUUUUUAUAAAUAAAUAAAAUAUUUUUUUUCUUUAACUUAAAAAUAAUUUUAAAAGAGAAACAUAAAAAAAAAAAAAAAAAUGGCCACAUAGGCCCCUUAACUUGCCACAGUGUAAAAAAUAAUAAUAAUAAAAAAGCAUUUGAUUAACAUGGAUGAGCUAAUACCCAUGUUUGGAAAAGUAAUUUCUAUACAUUAAAAAUUGUAUAUUUAACCUUGUUUACUUUUGGAUUUUUUUAUCCACAAAAAGUCCUUGAUGUGAAAUAAGGAUUAAACAAUUGUUAAAAGGAAAAUUUUAUCUAAAAGACAUUAUAUUUCAUAUUUUUAAAACAUAAAGGUCAUUCUUCCAAAUUUACCUUUCCUUUUUUAAUGAAAUAAGACAAGCAAUAAUGAGAAAAUAAAGGCUAAUAAGAAAAACACCGAAGAGGGGGGUGAAUUGGAUUUUUCAAAAACUUUUUCAACACAACAAAUUUAAGCACAAUAUAAACAAAUAUAAUGAGAUAGAGUUAGAGAAUUCAAACUUAGAUUUUAUAGUGGUUCGACAAUUCCUUGCCUACAUCCACUCUUCUCAAACUCCUAACCGAGUGAGGGUUCCACUAACUUGAAGCUUCAACCAAGUUUCUAAUCUUCUUUACACUUAGAUUUCGGCUCCAAUUGGCUCUUACACAAUCUCUUCAAGAUUCAACUUACUUGAAGGCUCUAACACUCAAUUUACAAGAAUGAUCUUCUCUCAACCUAACUCAAUAAUGGCUCAAAUACAAAUCAAAGCUAGGAUGACUCACAAGGGUUCACUAAAAGAUAUGCAAGUGAAGAUUUAAUGCACCAAGAAAGAAAUGAGAGCUUUUAAGGCAAGAACAAGUGGGUAGACAAUUGAUUGCAAAUGUUCUCUAUGUCAUAAAUGAAGUGGAGCUCUCAAUUUAUAGGUUUCUAACCUCGAGAGCCAAGAAAAACAAAAAGUUGUCUUAACCGUUUGAGCUGGGGGUCGACCGGUUCACUAGCCGUUGGAGCAUUUAAUGCUUUAGCAGGUUACCGUUGCUUUGAUCGGGCCUCGACCGAAUCUCGACCGGGAAGAAGGGUGCUUCAAUCGGGAAAGGAAAGCUACUGGAUGAGAGAGAGUCUUUUUAAUACUCCUCGACCAAACCUCGACUAGACAAGGGCAACUGGUCGACCGGUUCCCUAACCAUUUGAGCCGGUUGGCCAGUGUCUCGACCGGUUCAGCCUUUUGGCCCCGAAAACCUAUUUUUUUAUGUUAUUUUCCUUUCUAAUACGUAGGCAAAGUCUUUAGGUAAAUAAACAUGUCAAUUUUGAAAUGUUUUGCCUAAGGUACAUUUGAUUGAUAAAACUCAGGUUUUAAUGAAAUUUCAAUUUUAAAGAAUAAACCGAGUUUUCAAAGAUGCAUGAAAAGAUAUGUAAAACCUAAGUGCACCCAUGCAUUCAUCUUACAUUUGUUUCCUAUGAUUAAAAAUCUUCAAAAAUGUCUUGAUCUUGUAUCCAUUAGGUCCUUUGAUGAAUUUCCAAAUUAAUACCUGAGAUUCUUUACAAUUCAAACCAAUUAGUAACUUAACCAUGGUUUGUUAUCAUCAAAACCUGAUUAGGAGAACCCUUGGGCUAACAAUCUCCUCCUUUUUUAUGAUGACAAACCUUGGUUAUCUAGGAGAAGAAAAAAAAUCUCCCCCCUCAAACCAAUCAUGGAUCAAACAAUCAAAAUUUAUAAAGUUAAAACCAAGAUAAUCAAGACAUGCUAAUUUUCAGUAGGAAACGGUGUAAGUCAUGAACAAUUCAUUUUUCUUUCCCAAAAUCUCAUUUUCUUUUCUCAAAAUCUUAUUUUCUUUUAUCAAAAUCUUAUUUUCUUUUUCAAGACAAAUUUUAGAAAUUUCAACAAUUGAAAUUUUUUUUUUUACUUCUUCAAGUUCUUUUUCAAGUUGUUGAAUUUUCUUUUUAAGAGAAAUAUUUUUCAAACUAAGUUUUUCAAAAUCCUCAUACAAUUCUUCAAAAACAUCAUGCAUAUCUUCAUCACUAAAGUUAGAGUUUACCUCAUCAAGUUCAUCUAUUGCCAUGAAGUACAUGUUUGCCACUUCUUUCUCCUUUUCUUCUUCGGAUGAUUCUUCACUAUCACUCCAAGUGGCCAUCAUUGCUUUCUUCAUUCUUCUCUUGGCUUGAAUUUUGUAGAGAGGACAAUCAUAUUUAAUGUGUCCCAAUUUUUUGCAUUUUAAGCACACCAAAUCUCUUUUCUCUUCACAUUUCUCCUUGUCACCAUGAGAUGAUGCUUCCUUUUUAGAAAGGUCUCUUCUAGAGGUGAACCUUAUUCCUCUAAACCUUUUACCCCUCAUUUAUUUGUUGAACUUUCUUGUGAUGAGGGUUAGAUCAUCAUCCUCUUCACUUUGUUUUCCUUCUUCAACUUCUUCUUCCUUAUUUGUAGCUUUGAGAGUUAUGCUCUUCUUCUUUUUGUCUUCACUUUCUUGUAGCUUCUUUGUCAAAUUGGUCUCAUAUGUCAUUAAUAACCCUAUGAGCUCCUCCACAGGUAGCUUGGUCAAGUUUUUUGCUUCUUGAAUUGCGGUGACCUUUGUAUGCCACUUUGAUGGAAGUGACCUCAAUAUCUUCAUCACCUUUUCGGAUUCUUUGUAGGUCUUUCCCAAUGCUUCAAGACCAUUGAAAAUGUCGGGGAACCUAGUGAUCAUCUUAACAAUAAUCUCAUUUUCUUUCAUAAAAAACAAUUCAUAACUAUGAACAAGUAAAUUUAUUUUUAACUCUUUCACUUGAUUUGUUUCUUCAUGAGUUAUUUCAAGCAACCUCCAAAUUUCUUUAGCUGAUUUGCAUUGACAUGUUCUAUUAUAUUCAUUUCUAUCCAUAGCACAUUACAAAGUAAAAACGACCUUAGCAUUUAAUUGAAAAUUUCUUCUAUCAAGCUCAUUCCAUUCUUGCUUGGGUUUUGGAACCAUGACUCCAUCAACUAGUUUUGUAGGAAAAGUUGGGCCAUCUUCAAUGACGUCCCAUACAUCUAAAUUGGUUGAUUGUAAAUACCAAGUCAUUCUAGUUUUCCAAUAGGGAUAGUUGGUUCCGUAAAAAAUGAAGCUUUAUGUUUUGUAAAAUUUUCAGUGUGAGAUGAGCUUGAUGGAAUGACCAUUUCCUCUUAGACGAUUAAGUCUUAAACAAGAGGCCUUGCUUUGAUACCAAUUGAAAAAAUAAAGGCUACUAAGAAAAACAUCCAAGAGGGGGGUGAAUUGGAUUUUUCAAAAGCUUUUCCAACACAACAAAUUUAAGCACAAUAUAAGCAAAUAUAAUGAGAUAGAGUUAGAGAAUUCAAACUCAAAUUUUAUAGUGGUUCGACACUUCCUUACCUACGUCCACUUUCCUCAAGCUCCUAACCGAGUGAGGGUUCCACUAACUUGAAGCUUUAACCAAGCUUCUAAUCUUCUUUACACUUGGAUUCCGACUCCAAUAGGCUUUUACACAAUCUCUUCAAGAUUCAACUUACUUGAAGGCUCUAACACUCAAUUUGCAAGAAUGAUCUUCUCUCAACACUAGCCCAAUAAUGGCUCAAAUACAAAUCAAAGCUAGGAUGACUCACAAGGGUGCACUAAAAGAUAUGCAAGUGAAGAUUUAAUGCACUAAGAAAGAAAUGAGAGCUUUUAAGGCAAGAACAAGUGGGUAGACAAUUGAUUGCAAGUGUUCUCCAUGUCAUAAAUGAAGUGGAGCUCUCAAUUUAUAGGUUUCUAACCUCGGGAGCCAAUAAAAACAAAAAGAAGCCUCAACCGAUCGAGCUGGGGGUCGACCGGUUCACUAGCCAUUGGAGCAUUUAAUGCUUUGGCAGGUUAUCAUUGCUUCGACCAGACCUAUACCGGAGGUCGAUCGGGAAAGAGGGUGUUUCAACCGGGAAAGGAAAGAUACUGGAUGAGAGAGUGUGUUUUUAACACUCCUCGAUCGGACCUUGACCGAACAAGGGCAACCGGUCGACUGGUUCCCCAAUCGGUUGAGCCGGUUGGCCAGAGCCUUGAUCGAUUCAGCAUUUUAGCCCUGAAAACCUAUCUUUUUCUGUUAUUUUCUUUUCUAACACUUAGGUAAAGUCUUUAGGUGAAUAAAUAUGCCAAUUUUGAAAUGUUUUGCCUAAGGUACAUUUCAUAAAACUAGGGUUUUAAUGAAAUUGUAAUUUUAAAGAAUAAACUGAGUUUUUAAAGAUGCAUGAAAAGAUAUGUAAAACCUAAGUGCACCCAUGCAUUCAUCUUACAUUUGUUUCCUAUGAUUAAAAGUCUUCCAAAAUGUCUUGAUCUUGUAUCCAUUAGGUCCUUUGAUGAAUUUCCAAAUUAAUACCUGAGAUUCUUUACAAUUCAAACCAAUUAGUAACUUAACCAUGGUUUGUUAUCAUCAAAACCUGAUUAGGAGAACCCUUGGGCUAACAAAUAAAAUAGACUAUUUGGUUUAUUCAAUAUAUUUUGAUAGUGAAUUAAAUUAAAGCUAAGACUAAAUCUUCUUUUUUAAACCACAUAAUUGAUACUUAAAGAAAAACUUGUAGUAAAAGAGGAUAAUUGAUUUUGAGAUUUUACAAAUUUUGAAUUCUAUUUUACAAAUUUAUUUGAUUGUUUUCUCAUCAUAUCUCAAGUAAUGCAUCUUCAAAUAUAAGCAUUCCUCCACAUUGCGUUUGAGUUGCAAUUAAGAGGAGAACUUGGGCAUAUAACUAUUGUAAGUCCAUGAGUAACUCAUUUUGUUCAUGCACCCUAUAAGCCCACUCCCUAUGCAUUAUACAUUCUCUCUCAUUAAGGGUUAUGCCAUUUGGAAUGCAUAAGUGGUCAUCAACAAGGAUCCAAUUCCUUAUUGUGGUUUCUAGACUAGUCAUUGGCCAUAUAAUUGGCUUGAGGCCAAUUUUUCAUAGGAGAUGGUAGAGUUGCAUGAGAAGAACAUGUUUUUGAACUAUGCCCAAUUUUAUCACAUAUUUGACAAAUAAACCUCUUUGGGUUAUUGCCAUAUUGAGGACACCAAAACUAUGUUGGAGAUUCGAAUUGUUGCAGUUGAAAUGAUCAAGGCUUCCUUGAAAGUUACGGUUGCCAUGGAGAUUACCUGGAUUGUGUGGGUUGCCUCUGUUGCCAAAAUUUGGAUUUGGCUUUGGAUUAUUGAAAUGGUGGUCAUUUCCACCAAGAUUGUUGUCUUUCCCUUUCUUGCUAGAAACGUUUUUAGUUAAAUUGAGCAGUUAUUGGUGGAAUACCCUUCUUGGCUUCUUCUUAUUUCAAGAAUGAUUCAUGAUCAAGAAGUUUGUCAUGUAAUUCUUCAAAUGACAUUGAUGAGUCUCGAGCAUGAAUGGCGAUUGUAAGUUCUUUUUAUUUCGGACAAAGACCAUUGAGUGAGUCAAUGAUAAUUUUUUACCUUCCAUAUAAUCAGCUACUAUUUUUCCUUUUUUGUUGACUUUCAUGAGGCCAUCAAGAAGGCCAAGCAUGUGAGUAUGUGACUUAUUAGCUUAAGUCGCCUCCAAUUUAUUCCAAGCCUCAAUAGCACUAUUAACCCUUGAUACAACUGGCAAACCCAAGUUGUAAUAGAGAUUUGAAUAACAUGCAAGAUUAAAUGAUCUUGCCGCAUCCAAAGCUUGUGAUCAAGAUUGGCAAUUUCAUUAUUUGUUCUCGAAACUAUUGUUGUUUCAGGAAAAUAUAGGAGUGUUCCAUCUCGAUAUUGUUGGAUAUUUUGGUAAUUAUGGGCCUACAUAUUAACACAUUGUAUAUUAAGCUAUCUUAUUUUUGGCCUAAUUAAAUAUGAUCAAUUAAGUUUAAUGAUGGGCCUUUAAAGCAUCUCUUUAUGUAUAGACUGUAUGGACUUUACAAUGUAUAGAGACCAAUUUUAUUUUAUUUAUUAAUGAUGGGCCAAUAAACAAAAUAAAAUAAUAAAGGGUAUAAAUAGGGUUAUGGUCCCCAGUCUAAACGAAAGGAGAUAAAAAAAAUUGCUUAUUAUUCACAUUUCAUUAGUGAGUGAUUUGAGGCUGCAAUAUUCAUUUUAGACAUGGAAUACUAGACUUAAGUACAUAAUCUCAAUGGAUUCAAGUAUGUCUUCUAAUAUUAUUAUCCUAUAGAUUUAGCAUAAGAUUCAGGUGUAUUUAUUGUCUAGAUGAUUAGUUUCUAUAAUCAUUCUAUAUGAUUUGUGAUUCUCCAACAAUUGGUAUUAGAGCCACUCUUGUUAAAUCUAUUAGGAUUUAAUUAAAGAUAUUUCAUGGUGGAUGGAGUUUUUGAAUCUGAUUUCCAUUCAUUCACCCACCACUAUUUUUUGUGUUUGGUUGUAAGGAAUUUUUUUUUUUUUUAACCCGGAUUUUCUGUUGCAAAUCAUUUUUUAUAAAUUAUUUUUCCAAUCGACAUCAAUAUUUUUAUCAAAAGAUAUUUUAUCUUGGAUUGUUUGCAUAAUUUUCAAGAUAAAAUAUAAGUGUUUUUGAGAAUUUUGGGGAUAAAGAUGAAGUGGUUAGGUGAUAAUGACCUAUUUUUUCGUCUUUAUCUUGUUACAUUUUGAUAAGUCUUUUAAUCUAAUAGGGUCAUUUGGACAUUGGGCCUAAGUCAUUUAAGGUCAUUUGGAUUGUUGGACCUAAGUCUAUUUAAGUUGGGUUAAGUGAUGGGUAGGAUUGGACCUUUGAUCGACCCAGUUGGACCUUUGAUUGACUCAUUUAACCAACCUAGAUGGACCUUUGAGUGACUCGUUUAACUGAUCUGGAUAGACCUUUAACUAACCCGUUUGAUCGACCUAAGUGGACCUUUUAACUGACCUGUUUGAUCGUUGACUUUGAUCAUUGAUCCAAAAAAAAAAAAAACUUUGCAUGUUUAAAAUCCAAUAUUUCAAUAUAAAUUAAAUUGAAAUUAUAUGUCACCAAAGUGACCUCUAUUAUGUAGAUUUUAUUAUGAAAUUCUAUGAAUAGUAUUUAAAUCUAUGCGUAAACUAAUCAGCCUAAAGGAAAGUUAUUUUUUGCCAGGUUUUAAACACUUAUAGUAGUAAAUAUGUGAUAUUUUGGUGAUGUACAUGAAUGCAAUAAGUCAAUCCAAAGAUAAGCAUAUUGUUGGCAGGAUUUGUUAUCAGUAUUUAUUAACUAUAUUUUUAUAAUAGUACCAUUUAUGAAUUGUUAUUUUGUCCAAAGACUAAAUAUCAAUGUUGUGUUAGGUAUAUUAUAAGAGUUCAUCUUAUUGCUUUUAUGCCAUAUGUAUACAUGUAAAUUUUAUUUACAUCUUACAUGCUUAAAGUAAAUGGCAUUGUUGUUUAUUGUGAGCUUAUUACUGUAUUUUAUAUACAAUCAAUGCUUCCAUUAUAUCUACUAACAUAAACAACAUUCCAAUGCUUAAUGACACUAACUUUAGAAAAUUAAAAUAACACAUUACCAUUUUACUUGGGUGUAUGGAUCUAGACUAUGCGAUCCAGACUAAACAACCUCCCGCCCUUACUAAUGACAGUACUGCGAAACAAAGGGCUAACUUUGAAAAGUGGGGGUGUUCUAACCGCAUGAGUCUUAUGGUCAUGAAGCACUCUAUUUCAGAUACUAUCAGGGGUGCAAUGUCUGAGGAGGAAAAUGCUAAGAGUUUCCUAAGCCAAAUAGCAUACCAAUUCGUUGGAUCUAAAAAGGUCAAAACAAGUACCAUUUUGUCUAAGCUUGUUUCAAUGUGGUACAAAGGCAAAGGGAACAGAAAAUAGUACAUUAUGGAAAUGUCUAAUCUUGUUACUCGACUGAGGGCACUAAAGUUGGAGUUGUCUAAUGACAUCCUUGUGCACCUGAUCUUGAUUUCUUUCCCUGCACAAUUUAGUCCUUUUAAGAUAAGUUAUAAUACUCAAAAGGAAAAAUAGACUCUUAAUUAGCUCAUUGCUCAAUGUGUGCAAAAGAAAGAGAGAUUGAAACAAGAAAAGACAGAAAGUGCUCACUUAGCUACUACCUCUCAUGACAAUGUUGCCAAUAAGAAAAGAAAAAAGAACAGUAACAGUAAAGGAAAAUGAGUUGCAUAUAGUAGGACCUCAUAGCUUAAGGUGCAAUAGAAACAGGAUAAGGUCAUCACUUAUUUCUUUUGCAAGAAAGGUGGACAUGUAAAGAAGGAUUGUCCUAAGUAUGCAAAAUGGCUUGUCAAAAAUGGUAAACUUCUUAACUUUGUUUGUUCUAAAGUUAACUUGGCUUUAAUACCAAAUCACACUUAGUGGAUAGAUACAGGUGCAACUACUCAUAUAAGUGUGAUAAUGCAAGGUUGUCUAAGGAGUCGAGUGCUAAUAGAUGCUAAAAGAUUCAUAUAUAUGGGAAAUGACAACAAAGCUCUUGUUGAGGUGAUUAGUUUAUUUAGAUUGUAAUUAGAAUUUGGUUGUUAUUUGGAUUUGGAUGAGACUUUUAUGUACCGUCAUUUAGACAUAAUUGGGUAUUUAUUUCUCAUUUGGACAAAUCUGGCUACUCUUGUUCAUUUGGAAAUGGAAAAAAUAGUCUUUUUCAAUAUUCAAAUUAGAUUGGUAUAGUUUCUUUGGUUGAUAAUCUAUAUAAAUUGGAUAUUAAUGCUUCACAUAUUUAUGAAUCCUUGCAUGCAAGUAAUUGUGGUACAAAGUGUAAAUUAAUUGAUAAGAAUUCUUCCUUGUUGUGGCACAAGUGUUUAGGACAUAUUUCUAAACAAAGGAUUCAAAGACUUGUGUCAGAAGAAAUUCUUGAUUCCCUUAACUUUUCAAAUUUGAAAAUAUGCAUUGAAUGCAUUAAGAGAAAGCAAACAAAUGUAAAAAAAGUUGGCGCUAAUAGGAGUUCAGGUGUCUUGGAAUUAAUUCAUAUUGAUAUUCGUGGUCCAUUCCCUAUGGCUUCUUGGAAUGGUCAACAUUAUUUUAUUACUCUCAUUAUGGGUGCCUAUACUUGAUUCAUGAGAAGUCUCAAUCGUUUGACAUUUUCAAAUCCUAUAAAGCUGAAGUUGAAAAUCAACUUGGAAAGAAAAUUAAAGUUGUUAAAUCUAACCAUGGUGGUGAGUACUAUGGUAGAUAUGAUGGAUCAGGUGAACAAUGUCCAAAACCUUUUGUGAGAUACUUACAGGAAUGUGCCAUUGUUCCUCAGUACACCAUGUUAGGGACUCCAAGUCAAAAUGGUGUAGCUGAGAGACGAAACUGGACAUUGACGGAUAUGGUAAGAAGUAUGAUAAAUCAUUCUCCUUUGCCAUAAUCACUUUGGGGAGAAGCCUUAAAGACUACAGUUUGUAUGUUUAAUUGAUUUCUAAGCAAGCAGUAGCUAAAAUCCCAUGUGAGCUAUAGACUGGAAAGAAACAUAGUAUUAAGCAUCUUCAUGUUUGGGGUUGUCCAGUUAAGGCUAGGCCAUAUAGGCUUAAUGAAAGAAAAUUGGACUCAAGAACAAUAAGUUGCUACUUUGUUAGGUACUCAGAAAGGUCAAGGGGUUUUAAGUUUUAUGAUCCCUUGAGCAAGUCUUUUUUUUUUUUUUUUUUUAACCAACAAUGCCAAAUUCAUUAAGCAUGUUGAAUAUGGUGGGGGUACUAGACUCAGGAGCUUUGUCUUUGAAGAGGAAUAGUGCAACCAAAGAAUUUUGAAUCCAAAAAGUCAAAACAUCUGGUAUGCAAAUUAAAGCAAUCCAUUUAUGGUUUAAAGCAAGCAUCUCGUCAAUGGUAUCGAAAGUUUGAUCAAGUGAUUACCUUUUCUGGUUUUAAGAAAAACACUAUUGAUCAAUGUAUUUAUGAAAAGAUUAGUGGGAGCAAAUUUAUUCUUCUGGUGUUAGAUGUCGAUGAUAUUCUGCUAGCAAGCAAUGCUAUAGGCUUGUUUUAUGAAACUAAGAGAUUUCUUUCAAAUAAUUUUAAAAUGAAAGAUCUUAGUAAUGCAUCAUUUGUGUUGGGAAUAUAGAUCUAUCAAGAUCAUUCUCGUGGUAUUCUUAGCUUAUCAAAAAAGACAUAUAUUGAUAAAGUGCUUAGUAGAUUUGGCAUGAAGGAUUGUGUACCAAGAGAUACCCUCAUUGCUAAGGGUGAUAAAUUCAAUUUGCUUCAAUGCUUAAAUAACGAAAUUAAUAAGAAAGAGAUGGAGAACAUCCCUUAUGCAUCAGUAGUUGGGAGUCUCAUGUAUGCUCAAGUUUGUAUACGUCUAGAUAUUGUGUACGUAGCUGGUAUGCUUGGCAGAUAUUUAAGUAAACUGAGAAUGAUUCAUUGCAAGACAACAAAACGGGUUGUUCGGUAUCUGUAGAGAACAAAAGAUUUCAUGCUCACAUAUCAGAGAUCCGAUCAUUUAGAGUUCAUAGGGUAGUCCGACUCCGACUUUGCUGGCUACAUUGAUAGCAGAAUAUCCACUUCUGGCUAUAUUUUUAUUUUGGCUGAAGGAGAUGUCUCAUGGAAGAGUGUUAAGCAAUCACUUAUAGCUACUUCCACCAUGGAAGUAGAAUUUAUAGCUUGUUAUGAGGCAUCGAGCCAAGCAAUAUGGUUGUGGAAUUUUAUCACUGGAUUGUGUAUUAUUGAUGGCAUUGAGAGACCAUUAAGGAUAAACCGUGAUAACCAAACUAAAGAAUUAUAUUCUAAGAACAACAAAAACUCGCCAAAAUCGAAGCAUAUUGACUUGAAGUUUCUGGUUGUUAAGGAAAGAGUUUAGAGUUUUCAGGUGUCUAUUGAACAUACUAGUACAAACUUCAUGAUUAUGGAUCCACGUAACAAAGGUGUACCACCUAAAGUGUUUCAUGAGCAUGUGGCUCGUAUGGGUGUGGUUCAUCUUGGUGAUAUGUUUGUGUAGUGGGAGUUUGUUAAUUGAUGUUUAUUAGUUAAUGAGAUGUUUUUCUUAUCAAACAUAACUAUUAUUCUUGUUUUUCUUAUUGAAAACUUUGAAAUAAAGUUAUAUUCUUUCAAUUGCAGUUUUGCAUAAAGUUUGAAAGUGUGUUGAACUCUUUUGAGUCAUAAAGUUGGACCAAUUGGAAAUAGGUAUGAUAUGGGAUCACAUUACAUGAAAUUUCCAUGCUACACAUCCAUACUUGAUUUAUGUCGUUGAUUGUAUUAAUGUGGUGAUCAUUGAUGGGUCUAGUUGCGAAAUAUGUAACGAAGAUCACUUUGAUUCUAUAUUGGUAUAAUUGAGGGACCAAAUUGUUUUGAGAUACUUGCAGUCAAGAUAGCAAAUAUUGAGCUCAUUUUUGUAAUGUUCAAUUGUUUAAUGACAUAUGUGGCCCAAGUGGGAGAUUGUUGGAUAUUUUGGUAAUUACAGGCUUACAUAUUAACACAUUGUACAUUAAGUUAUCUUAUUUUUACCUAAUUAAAUAUGAUCAAUUAAGUUAAUGAUGAGCCUUUAAAGCAUAUAUUAAUAUAUAUAUAUAGACUAUAUGAGUUUUGCAAUGUGUAGAGACCAAUUUUAUUUUAUUUAUUAAUGAUGGGCUAAUAAAUAAAAUAAAAUAAUAAGGGGUAUAAAUAAAGUUAUGGUAUCCUGUCUAAACGAGAGGAAAUAGAAAAAUUACUUAUUAUUCACACCCCAUCAGUGAGUGAUUUGAGGUUGUAAUAUUCAUUUCAAACGUGGAAGACUAGACCUAAGUACAUAAUCUCAAUGGAUUCAUGUAUAUCUUCAAAUAUUAUUAUCAUAUAGAUUUAGCAUGAGAUUAUGGUGUAUUUAUUGUCUAGAUGAUUAGUUUCUAUAAUCAUUCUGUAUGAUUUGUGAUUCUCCAAUAGAUAUCCCAAGAGAUCGUAGUCAUAGAAAAGGUUGGCAAAUUGUUAACACCAUUAAGCAUAGUUCCUGCUUUUGACAAUUUUUGUGGAAUUUGUGUGGUUGUGUUGAUUGCAAUGAGAGUUGGUGUUUGAAAAAAAAAAAAAAGAUUGGUACUAGCAUUGAUGACCAUCGGAGACUCAGACAAGACUGAGUUUUCUGGAGAUGCAGUGUAGGAGGAAGAAAAUUCAAGGAGGAGAGGUAGGAAGGAAAGUCAAUGGGGGAGAGCUUGAAGUUUGAAGAGGAUUGAGUUUGCUAUCUUAGAGCUUUGGGCUCUGAUACCAUAAUAGCAAAGCAAUUGAAGAAUGAAAAGCUACACUAUUUUCAUUCAUCCAGUUACAAGUAUAUAUAUAUGCAGAAAACAAACGCGAAUGAGGAAAAUAUGUGAUUUGGUUUUAUAGUUUAGGAAUGUUGACUAUUGGACAAUAAAAUACAGAUGAGAAUUAACCCCUGCAACCAAGGGUGGAGUGAUUCAUAUUAGAAAAUACAUUUUUAAAAUAUUUUAAAAUUUAAAUUAUUUUUAUAAUUACCAUUUUUUAUAAAAGGUAUCAAAAAUUCAUUAUAGGAUGCUAAAACCCAUGACGGUGCUCUUUCUUAUGGUGGUGCUCUUUUGUUCAAGUUCACAUUAUAUUGGUUUGCUGGAUGGCGAUUUCUGUCAAAGUCCACCCUAUUUUAGUCUAAUGGAUGCUAAAGAUGCCAAACUUUUGUCUUGCAGGAUGAUGACGUAUAUUGUUAGAAUGCAUUUGACAAUGAUUAUUAGAAGUGUUUUUAGUUUUUCUAAUACUUGAAAAUUUUUAUUUUUCACGUAUUAAAAAUACUAAAAACACUUUUAAAAAUUACUGUCAAACACGAUCUUAGUACCCUUUUCACUUUCAAAGCUCUAUAUUUAGUUAAAAUAAUCCAAGUCAUUUUAAAUUAUCAACUUUUUUCUGUUGCAGGAUUAAAAAGAACAUUAAGCAGUGACAUGAUAUAAUUUACUUAUAUAUAUAACUGCGAAAAAUUAUUGUGCCUUUGAGAACGUCAAUUAUGGCUGAAAUUUUAUAGAAUGGGCCACUCCCAUUUAUUCCAUAUCUUAAGAUUGAAUCUUCUUUUUAAAACCCUUAAUUCGUGAAUACUUCAAAUCUGUUGGGAGUAUAUAACAGAAAAAAAAAAUGCGAAUGUUAAGAAUGAGAAAUCAAGGAAUUUCAUUACAUGCAACAAACAUAAAAUCACUCAAACCCUUUCUUUAAAACCAACCAAAACUGUGUUUGGGGUUUUAAAUAAUGUCUGGAAAUCUAGCCCAGCUGUUCUGCUAUUACUAAGCAUCAACUCCAUUUGCUUAUUUAAUCAUAUACCUAUGCCAACAUGGAAUAUAUUAAAGCACUCAGUUUCUAAGAAAUAUUCUACCUCUAUAUGGCCUCUCUAACGUGUAUCCAUGUUGGUUAGGGGUAAAAUUGCUGGGCUCCUUCUCGUCGGCCAUUGUUGCAUCCUUGUGAAUAAAGUCUGCGGUUUGCCCAUCAUCCCUUGCUGAACCCACUCUCACCACUUUCGGACCAGUCCACACAAGCAGUUGCCAAGUGAAAGCAGGAGGUAGAUGACAUAUAUCCCAGGUCUCCAUGCAUCUGGGAACAAGAGUGAAGCCAAUGAUGCCAGUGAGAGGGAACCGGAAAACACCAUGAUAGUACGGAGGACAGCAGCACAGGUAGGAGAGAGAUGAAAAGAAUGGAAGGUGGACUCGAUUCCAAAUGACAAGGCAAAUACCAGUAAACCAGCAAUAGCCACCAAGGUCGUCUUGGGAUGGACUUGAAAUACAGAGUUUGACUCAUUCUGGAACUUCAAAUUGAUGAGGUUGGUGAGCAAGGGAAGUAUGAAGCUAAGAAGGGCCAGGAUGGCUUUACGGGAAGUGGCCAUUAGACUUCGUUGUUGUCGGCGGUUGAAGGUAGCGCAGUAAAUAGGCAUGGUUGUGCUCUGGAUAUAUUCGCAAUUUAAUUAGACCUGUUGAGCAACAAAUUAACAAUGAGGACACAGAGAUUAGAUGAAGAUUUGGAGAGAAAGAUCAUAAUUAAGGAAAUCAAUAGAAGAAAUUCGAUAACAAGAGUUUGAGAGGUUUAACUAACCUCUAAUCUCCUCCGGUCCUUCAAGAUACCUUCACCCUCAACUUGUCUUUGAGAGUCAACUUCUCUAUAAAUAACGAAGUAUGUUGACUAUAUUUGCCAUCUUCCUUCUUGUAGUGGGUCACAGCAGCAAGCUAUGGGGCCUGCCAUCUCAGCAGGCUGUAUGGGGUGGUGUAACGACUGAAAGCCCUUCUGUUGCGUGCAUGGAAUAGGUUCUUCUCACCACUGCUAACAUGCCAUCUGUCUAUCUGACUUUACUUGAGCUUUAAUUUUUUAUUUUUUGGUUUUAAUGUAGAUUAAUAAAUUAAUUAAUACCUUAUUACAUAUAGUCAAGUAUUUAAUUCCGAGAAACCAAUAAUUUUAUAUUGCUUUAUGUAUGUCCACAUCUAAAAAUGAUCAUAUUAAUCAAUUUGUAUAUGAAGACAUCAUAGAGUGCUACUACUUCAGAGAGAGGAAUUAAGAGAGAAGGAUAAGUGUAAAUAAUUUUAAUUAUAUUUAAUUCUCUUUCUUAUUUUUCAUAAUGAAACCAAAAGAAAAAAAAACUAUAUUUUUCCUUAAAAUUUUCUGGGAACCAAACACGGCGUUAUAGAAAAAAUACUUUAAUUAAAAGUACUUCACAUAGAAAUGGCCUCUAACAUGCUCUUGCUUCAUUCGCGUGUAUAUCUCUAAGUAGGCAAAUGGUCUAUGAGAGGAUUGGGAAAAAUUGUGUUCGCAAUAUGCAAUGGAAUUUAACUCAAUUUAUAGUGUGAGAACUCCCCGGAUUUGGACUGAUCGAUACUGAGGGUUUUGACUUUAAUGGUAAUAAAAGCACAAACCUCAAUCUUUAGAAAGAAAGUAUGUUUAUUUUAAAGGUUUCCAAACUCAUUUUGUUUGAAGAAUAUUUGAUUUUUUGAUUAUCCGUUUCACUUAUGAGGAGAUGAGGAAAGGAUUAAGGAGUUAAAGUGCAGUGGAAAAUGUUUUUAUUUUAAGUGUUUUUAGGGAAAGUGUCCUUUUUAAAAAAUAUUUUUGAAAAAAUCAUUAAUUAAAUGAUUCUUUAAAAAGAAUUAAAAGUGAUUUUUUAAAAUUUAAAAGUAUUUUCUGAAUUUUAUCAAUUGUAAAGUUCUCUUUAAAAAAAAUAUAUAUUUUUUUUAUACACUAAAAGUGGUUUGUUAAAGCACUACCAAAUGCAUUCUAAAUUAAUCAAACAAAUUUCUUUAAUUAUUUUUUUUUCUUGGUUAAAUGCUCAUUCGGGAGGUCAUCAAUUUUAAAAACCAAGUCUUUUGGCUCUAUGCAUAAUCAAUGCAACAUUAAUGUACACUCAAUGAUUAAAAUAUCGUAUAUUGAUAGAUCUCAAAACGAUAUUUAUCACAGAUAUAACGACAAUCAACAUGAUCAAAGCUCAAAAAUAAGUUAUUUUUCCAUCGUUGAGGGGAGUACGACCUUGCCCACCACUAGGGCAAGUUUGCCCCUUGAAGAAUACUUUGAAGAACAAGUUAAUUAUAAUUAUUUUAUAAUUAAAUGAAAAAAUUUCAUUUAAUUUAUUAGUAAAAAUAUAAAAAUUAUCAUAAUAAUUUUCUUCAUAGUGUUUUUCAUAUCAUUAAUGUAUUAAUUAAAUAUUAAAAAAUUAUACACUUAUCGUCAUUUAUGUUAUAGCCUUUAAUACAAUUAAAUUAAAUGUAUCAUAAUUUUAAUAUUAAAUAUAUUUUAAAAUUAGACAUAUUAUAAUCAAAUAUCACAAUAUUUGAUAUAAUUUAAUAAUCAAUGUACGCUUAUCAAAUUUAUAUUUUUUUUAUUGACACAUAUAAUAUUAUUAUCAAAUAUAAUAAAUUAUAUAUAUAUAUAUAUAUAUAUAUAUCAAUUUUUUCAACAAAACAACUUUAAAUGUCCAUUACAUUUUUAAUUUCGUUUCUAAUAUUUAUUUUAUUUUAUUUUUUAUUUUUACAUUAUUAUAAAUUUUGAUCAAUUUUAAGUCCAUCGAUAUUUUAUGUCAAAAUAUCCAUUAAUAUUUCUCUGAUAUAUCCAUAAAAUCAAAAUAAAGAUAUAUAUAUAUAUAUAUAUGAUUGUCGAUAUUUUUAUCCUUGAUAGGCUAUCCAUCUCAAUAACAAAGAAUGGGCCGGUUGAUAGAUGAAUCUAUGUAUCCAUCUUAAGAAUAUAUGUUAUUUUGGUAUUCGAUUUUUAAGAGCUGCAUGUGACCUAACGUAUUUAUUGUUGUGGAUGAAGUUUCGAUGUGCUUUUGAUCUUAUGGCUACGAGAGUUAAUAAAAUUACCUAAGAGGCAUGUCCUCGAACACACCACACACUGGCCAAAUCAAUUAACCUACGAUAUAUAUAUAUAUAUAGCCCAAAGCAUUCCCAAGAUACAAACCUGAGCCAAAACCCAUCUCCAAAAUAAGCUCAGGAAAAGCCCAUUAUGGGCAGUUGAUUAGUUUACUACAUUCAUUACAUGACUUGGUUUGAUAACACCGACUCCAUUGCAACACUGAAAAUAAUUCAAAUGUGCUGGAUGACUACUAAUAUGCAGCUGGUACACGAGAGCUACAUCGUGACAGCUGAACCAGAAGGUACAGAUCCUUCUAAACAUGGAAUUGUCUAGGAGGAUAGGUAAUCAGGUGUGGAUAUGGAAUCAGCUAUAAAGUCAUUUGGCCCAAGAUCAUCGAUAGGUGGACGUUGUCUAUGGUGCUCGGUGACUGACUGAUAAGCCAUGGCUAGU
Molecule: long non-coding RNA, 65351 nt
Filed under: Vitis vinifera (wine grape)
Lineage: Eukaryota; Viridiplantae; Streptophyta; Magnoliopsida; Vitales; Vitaceae
Description: long non-coding RNA (VVIN_LNC004930)
Source: RNAcentral